UGGGUACUAGGUCACUAUCUGAGCUGUAAAUUCAUCAGUGUUUUAAUAGUUAUCAAAUCAACAGUCUAUGGAUCACAAAAGUUCAGGCAUCCACUACACAAACUGCAGGGCUUCUAUUACCGUUAAAAGAAAUGAAACUUCCAUGCUAGAAGCAGCUUCCACGCAUCCCAAAAUUGUUUAUCUCAUAGAAUUAAGAAAUCAUCAAACAACUGUACUUUCUCAGGAUUUUCUUUUUACUCUUGUAUCACCUGUGCGGUCGAUCUGACAGAGGGAAGGUUAUUUUGCACACCUGUUUUUUCUGUUUUUUUUCAUCUUGUAUUGUAUUGCGAAAAGUACUCUCUUGAUAUCUUUGCACCAAACGAAAGACUAGUACUGUCACAAUUUGCUUUCUUUAACAAAUGGGCUAAUAGUUCUUGAUCUACACAAGGAAUCAAGUCAAACAUCAUUCAGGAAAUAAUUUGCAGCAGGAGUAAACUGCAAUAACAAUUGGGUACAGGAAAGCUGAAAUAUUAGAUAUAUAUCAUGUUCUGUGAGGACAUAACUACAGGCUUUACAAGUUUAAGAUUGCGGAAAUAUCGGGGAUGCAGGCAAGCAAAUUCAAACAAUAUGUCAAACAUUCUUGUGUUGCUCUGAGAAUUCCAAAGAGUAAAACGUCAGGGCAUCUUGAAAAUGGACACGCAAAAAUUUAGUUCUUCAGAAGCUCCGACUAAAAUUCACAGAAUCAGAUUCACAUCCACGUAUCUUCACAAAUUGAUCCCUCACCAGUUUUUUAACAUCAGAUUUAGCUUUUCGAGGUGAAUACCGAGAUUGCUUGUCCACACUUCAGGUGAAGAAAAUGUAGUCAGUAACCAAAAACAAAAGAAAGAGGUAGAGAGAUGGCAAGAAAGAGCAAGGCUUACCUUCGCGCCUUCUUCUUUUCUUUAUAUCUUGUCAUGUUAUUUUCUUUACAUUCUAAUUGUGCAUUCUCCAAAUCAGACAAGUUGCUGGAAAGUUGUUGUCUCUUAAAACUGGAACACGGUUCACUGUCCACACAUUCAGCACUGAGCUUUGAAAGAGAAAGGGACAAUGCUGAAUAAGACGGUUUAAUUGAAGGAUGUUCCUUGGUUGUAGUGAAGUCAGAAGAGCCAACAUCAUUGUCAACAUUAGCUGAAUAAGAGAUGCAAACUGAAGAAGAUGCUGAGACAUCCUGUAAUGGAUAAAGAGAGGCAAGGAGGAAAAAAUUAAAAAUGAAAAAAAAAGGGAUUAGCAUCCACUCCUGUCUUCGACCUUCGGCCCCAGAAUACCUGAUGACUAGAUCAAUACAACGGAUACCGCUCAAACAAUCAUUUGCAUAUACUAAAAAAAUAUGAUUGUGCCUGUCUGAUUGUGUUCAUUCAAUUCUACAGCUCUAAGAAAUACACAUUUUCUUUUUGUUUUUCUUUGAUAUUGUACUUUUUUCAACCCUCACAAAGUUCUGUACAACUUCAAAUCGACUGCACAUAAAUGCUUUGACAGCAUGUAUUGACAAAUGAUUUUUACUGUAAGCGGCUUUCUUGUCACUGACUUAUCUUCAUUAUUGUCGCUAAUUUUCAUUUAUUACAUCUAUAUGCAGCUUAGACACGUAGCCAUAUCUGUAAUUGUUCUGCUCAUUAUUUCUUACAUUCAUUAUCUGAAUAACAUAAUCUUUCUUUUUUUUUGACUCUCAAAACACUCUUAAGUUGUAUAUAAUUUCAUCCUCUUUGGACUUUACAAGGUGUACUUUUCUGUAUGUCAGCCUGGGGGAAGGAGAAGCAUCGCAGAGUACAAAAAAGGUGGAGAAUGAAAGCUACUACUUUAAAUGAAAGAAAAUUUCAACUGUCAAGUAGCAUAUCUAGUCUUCAAGAUGUAUUCUUGAUAAUUUUGUUAACAGGGAAUAAUCCUAAAUGAACUAUUUCCAUAUCACUGGAGUUUCUAUAUUCUGAUUCUGUAAGGAGGAUACGCUGAUAACGAGUCCAGACAAAAAUAAUUUGUACCUCAACUGAUCGUUCAUAACCAUUGUCUGAUUUAUUAAUAGACAUAUCCUUCUCUACAGAGGAGCAUGUCGUAUAAUUGUCAUCAAGCAGAGCUCUAGCUAGCUCUUGCUCGCCUCCAAAGAGCUCUUCGAUGUUUUUGAAUGUUGAAUCCACAUCAGGCAUGGUAAAAUCAUCAGAACAUCCUAGCUCAUCACAAACUCCUAGGUCUUGCAUAUUUUGAGUCCAAAGCUGCAAAUUUUAAGUUUAAGAAAAUGUACAUGGCGUUUGAAGAAUAAACAUGUAAUUCAUUGACAAUUAGCAUCAUGCUUUUGAUACUGUUGUAUCAUACUCAUUAACAAACUUAGUAACUAAACAGAAGUAUGAAUUGCAUUUUGGCAUCAUUAAAUUUGUUGAAAUGGAAAAUCAAGAACCAUAAGUUCAGCAACAUUCAGUUGUCAUUUGGAUGGACAAAAAAUUUGCGGGAAAAUGCUUAUCAUAUAAAACUAAAAGAAAACUUUGGAUCAGCUUUGUGGUGCCUGGACAUCCAUUUGAACUUCGUGUCCCAAAUGAAACACUAGUAUGGCAUUUAGUUCCACAAAUAAGUGACAUACUAACAAGGUCAUCAUGAAUAACUGAAGGUGGUAUAUGAUUAUGUUCAGAAGCUGUGAUAUAGGUAAUAAGCCACCAAAUCUGUCUCAUCAUGCAGCAGGAGAAAGGGAAGGCAUUAUUGGAGGUAAAUAAGCUACUAAAUCUGUCUCAUCCUAUAGCAGGAGAAAGAAAAGGGAAGGAUGGGAGGGAAACUAGAGUAGAAUGAGAAAGUACUAUGCUAUGAAGAAUGCAAACUAACGAUUUUCAUGCACUGCAUUAGGUUAUAAAUCUGAUUCUGGCACCUAAAAAUAUUAAAAAGAAGAAUACAUUAACUGGUCUUGCUUACCUUAAAUUUCUUAGUUUGCAAUGUGUAGUAACUUAAUUUUCCUAAAACUAGGACAUGUUGAUUUACAAAAGGUUUUUCUUAUUUUAUAAGAAAAAAAGUAUUGAUGUGUAAGAAGGACUGCAUUUUAUUGGAAAUAACUGAGAAUAUCCUUCUCUGUGAUAUAGUAAAAAGAGGCACUCCAGUGCACAUUAGUGUGGAGUGCGCAUUAGUUCCAUCAUGUUGAAUUCAUAUAUGAAACUGAAUUUACUUCUUAAGUCAUCUUAAUGACUCGAAAGAAAGAUAACAAAACCUGGCCACUCUGUACUGGACUUUUACACUGCCAGAAGGAGUCCCCGUCCAUCUGUGAGAAAGCAAGUUGAAAAGGUUCAGUAGUUGGAUUCUCGUGAUGACUGCCGUGAAGAUCAGAACCAAGAUCAAGAGCAUGCUGCAAAUGUUGAUCAAGAUUUUCAUGCAUCUUCCUUUUUGCGUGGAACUUAAAUGAAGACAUAUCAAUUUCCCCUUGGCUUCUCAUAAAAGAAAAUUUUCCAUCUCCCUGAGUCAGUUGAAGCCUUUUUAAGUCAUUAAUCUGUUCCAGUACAUGGAAAAUAUUCUUCCUGUGGACAGCAGCCUGCAAAGUUACACAUGUAAGUAAUCAAUCAGCCUACAUUCCUUCAUCAAUCCUAAGAAACAACAUGUAUAAAGCUUAUGUUAUCUUAUAUUAGCGUACCAAGCUCUCAAAAGUUUGAAGAAGGAUAAUGGUAAACCAACAGCAAGAAACAGAUAUUAUCUACAAUGGAGUAGUUAAUGUUGACAGCACUAAUCUUAUAAUGUUAAUCAAACUCUACUAAGGCAAACCAUGGUAUAACUUCGACCAAAAGCUAGGAAUAAGUAAUUUAUUUGGAAGCUGAAUCAUUUCAGCAGGAUGCAUAAAAUAGAUGUUAUGGCAUAACUGAAGUAAGAUGUACCUGUUUUCCAAAUAAAAUUUGAGCAGGAUAAAAAAGACAACUACAAAUUGAUCAUACUGAAGUAGUUAUACUUGUUAUCUCAUGGUUCACUUAGGAACUUUCUCAGAGAUACCACAUAAAUGUUUCAAUAAUCAGUUCAUACAAAUCUCGAGCAUUGGUUGGGGUCCAAUCUAACCUGGUAAAGAUGCAUGUAAGAUGCAUCUUUGUGUGGUACAGAGUAGUGAAGCGUGGACAGCAAUUAUAUUUAGUGAUAUUGCUGGUUGCACCACUCCUUUUUCUUUAGGAAAAUUUCUUUCCUGUGUCUCUUUUCUCUCCAAGCUAAAUAAAACCUCUUGGUUUGCAUCCCCUUAAUGUUACUCUUUUAGCAGGUAGAAUGAUUUCAGAAACCAUACAGUCCACAAACAAUGAAGAAUACUGCAAAGGGCUUGAGAAUGACCCCAGCAGCUGCACCAUGAAGGAGAAGAAAUUUGUUUGGGGAGCAAAGGUAAUGAAAUGCUUGCUCAGGCGUAGUGAAUGACAACCAUUUGACAUAAUUGAAUCAGCUGUUUCUUUGCUACGUGUUACUUUUUGAGCUAGGCAACAGAGAGGUCAUUUCAUUGUUGAAGUACCAUUAGAGGCAUAAAAAUAAUUGCAAAUCAUAGAUCAUGCAUACUGCAAAAUCAAACCAUAAAUUCAGGAAAAGUAUGAGAGGAGAAAAAGCAUCUCCUUUUGCAGCAGAAGAUAGUGACAACAAUUGACAUGACAUCAGAUGUAGGAGUGAACCAUCUUCUUUAGACUUUGCCCCUUCCUGAUUAUCAAAUAGGCUAGUAAAUUGUAUGAACUCUUUUUGAUUGGAAACUAUCACACAAGUAUGAAAACGGUCACUAUGUACUUUUCUCUUCAACAAAUAAGAAAGCUGUGCAAACUGAACUCAACAUGAAAUGCCUAAAUGCCAGUAACAAGUUUAAGGACCUAAAUUGACAUGAGCUUCUAUUCACAGUUGCCGCAUAUACCUUAGUGCCUUUGCCUCUUGAUCGGACUUUGGGUAACUUACUGGUGGUGGAAGCCACAUCAAAUACUGAUGAAAUGCCUGCCACUGAGCAAGACUGUCUUGAAUUGUUGAAAGUGAGCACCCCUGUACUUACUGCUGCACUUGACGUGGGAAGAGAUUGAUAUUCAGAUUUACUAUCAUUAUCCAAUUCAUUCAAGUCAAGACCCCAGAGUGCCGCAAAAUCUUUAGCAGAAGGGCAUCCUGUAUAACAACUCAUCACUUUUCUCUGGUGUUGGGAAGAGAGAUCAUGUUGGUUGCGGUCACAAGGGCGGCACAUAAACAUCUGAUGAUCUGAACACUGAACAUAAGAGGGGCGGUAUCUGCACGACUCACAAACAAUGGCGCGUGUAUGCCGGUUGGAAAGAGCAUUAGCUGAAUGAACCUUGGCAUCACAGGACAGGCAAAGAUGUGCUGCAUCUGCCUUACAGUACACAAUUGGUCUUAGGAUCAGACAGAAUUCACAAGUUUUUUCCAUCUCCAUGUCACCAGGGAAACAUAAUACGAACAGCUAACCGUUCACAUGCAUUCAAGUCCAAGAUAAACAGAAUUCUGCAGGAAUUCCUCCUAGAUCCAACCCCAACCAGCAAUCAAAAGCGACAAAACAGCAUAAGAAAGUCAAAUUUUCAUUUCAUAUCUUACCAAACACUAAUUUCAUCCUUCCAUCAAACGUUUAACAGGCGAAACAUAACUCAAAAGACUAUAGGAUAUAAAUUGCCACCGAGAGAUAGGAAAGAAAGAAAUGCCAUGCAAACAGAGCUAGAUCGAACUUAAGGUCACUGGUGAAGGAUUAAAGUAUUAUACCUUUGCAGAAUCAAGAUAAACUCACGAUUUUAUCAGGAUAUUACUUUAGACUCCAAGUCAUUAAGUACCACAGCAGUCUACUGCUCAAAUUCCAUAUCAGAAUCAAGUGAAUUUCACCAAAACACUACCUCCUCUUUCCAUCUUUGAUCAAAUACUACUAAUUGCAAAUGGGAUUUGCUUGAAAACAACGGAAACAACUCGAUUAGCUUGACUGGUUCAACUUCACUCAAGAAAGAGCUGCUAAACUUGACUUGCUAUAAACUAAAAUGAAAGGGCAAAAACUUUCAGGAAAUUCCACAAUCAACAACUUGAGUCUUGAGCAUUAACUGUAACCAACCAUUAACUAACCUCAACUUGCUCCUCAAGCAGUUGGACUCUCCUGAAUCAGAGCGGAAAACCCUUUUUUGUCAGCUGACAGAAACGAAAAAAGAGAGAAAACAGUUGAGCAGAAGUCACAGGAAUUAGCAUGUGUAGCAGAAUUCAUUCAUCAUCAGCAAUAGCUUUGAGCUUUGAGUUUUCUUUUUCUCUCUCUUUUUUUUUUUUUUUGGUUAACUUGUUGUCAACUUGUCAUCAUAUCAUAACAUUUGUUAUCUACUUUUUAUGGGUGGGUUCUCUAUCUUGAACUUUUUGGUAUGACGUGGCAGUUCAAGGGAGCAGGCUGUCCUACGUGGACAGAGACACGUAAGCUAUGUGUGGCCCCACUUGCGUUAUCUCUGUUGCAUGUUAAGUUCCUCGUGUGAUCCAACAGUUGGUUCCUCAAACCAAUGAAAAGGCGACACGUUAGUGCGCAGGUUAGAGAUGACGGCUGCUAAUAAAUAUGGAAAACUAACCUUAACGAGUUAAGGGAAGCUUCGUGUCCGAGGAAGUGGGACUUUUUUUUUUUUUUUUUUGGGUGGAAAGUGAAUGAUUCUUCACACAAAAUAAGAGAGAGACACAAAGCCUAGACGAUCUAAACGGCCCUUUAGAAAUUGAAACUUGGGCUCACUUGCAGCUAUUGCCCAACGAGAAGACCAUGGGCCAGUCUACGUGUUAUUAGAACAUCUGCAUUGGACUUAAACGUAAUAAAUCUGCCGACACCAUGCUCCAGGGUCUAUAUAUUUCUCAAUAGUCCUUCACGCAGAAGCCAUUGCUUCGAAUCCCAUCCGUCUCUCACUUCUUCCGUUCAACCCUCCCCAUGCAGGGUCUGCAGCUUCAAUAUUCUCCUGUUGCUCCACCGCCUCCUCCUCUUGCUUUGAGGAGGACGGCAUCCAAUUACCGUGCUUUGGUUUCAUUCGGAUGUAUUCGAAACUCAGGUAUUCGAUUCCAAGUAUUGCUUCGAGCUAUAUGCUUUAGAAUUCGCUUCCGUCUUUUUUUUUUUUUUUUUUUUUUUAAAUUUCUCCUAUUAUGCAUAGUCAUCUUUCUUUCUUUUUUUUUUGUUUGGUUUUCUUAGCCCUGCCGGUGCCUCGUACUUGGAUUAAAUCCACCACCCGCCGUUCUCUGUGUGUCAGUCGUGGUCGUGGUGUUCUAACUAGCCUCAGUUCAGGAAGCUCUUGUCCACCUUGUGACUCAGGGAACUCCUCCCCGUCUGGUACGUCUAGAUUUGCUAGUGUAAACUGCUUCAACAUAAUAACUAGCAUUAUAUCCUGUGCUAGGGAAUUACAAAUAGUUAAAAUAAUUCAAAAUUUUUUGAGCAAAAUAAAAAAAUAAUUUGGAAUAAAGUAUUUAGCAAUUUUAGUAUCAUAGAAAACUAUCUAAAAUCUUUACAAUUAUAUGCAAUUCAGUGAUUAAUUUUUGUAUUUUGUACAGCUCUUUGUAGUGUAGUUAUAUGUAGAAAAAGAAUUUGAUAGCGUUUUAUUUGUUUUUUAAAUUUUAAAGUGGUAAUGAAUGUAGUAGACAAUUGAAACUAUUGUGCAUUUUGCGGAAUCCUUCGUGAUUUGAAAAGAUAAAUUACACGGUAUGGACUAAAUUUUAGAAGAAAUUAAAAAUAAUUGUAAACUCUAUAAAACUAGUAAGGAAAGCUUCUGUAAGUUUUGAUUGUUGAAUGGCAUAUAGUGUAGAUAUAGAUAUGUAAAUAUUAAUGUUAUUUUUGUAGAAUUCGAAGCAAUCACUUUGAAAAGAAAUUAAUUUUCAUGAAAAAAUAAGAUAUACAAAAUAUAUUUGCAAUAGUGAAACUGAUUGUUUUUGUAUAAUUUAAAAGCAUGAUAUCCUUGUUUAAUCACUUUAUAAUAAGAUAAUUAGUACAACUCCUUAUUUAUAUAAAAGGGUUGAAGGAAAAAAAAUUUAUCACGUUUACAUUUAUAAGACUAUGCAUUGAUGUUUACAAGUUUAUUAUGUUAUUUGUUUAAAUUUAGAAUAUAUCUUGUAUAGAAAAACAUUUUUCAAAUGACAACAUAUGCCAUUUGUCAUUUGCAACUGAGGAUAAAAACAUUUUUAUCUAGGAAAAUUUAUUGAUAAGUUAUUUUUUUUUUCAUUAAAUUGAUAAGUUAGCUUAACAAAAUAUUUUUCUGCCAGGAAUAUAGGGAUAAACAUUUGAACCAAACAAACUAAUAACCGAUAGAUAACAUUAAUUGAAUUAAUUAAAGAAUAAAAUAAUUCAAAAUCCUUAAAAAAAUGACGCAUGUGAUAUUAUGAUUGGAACCCUUCUGGAGAUGUAGACUGGUAAAUAGUAUAUAGUAUCGAUAUUAAUAAUAACAAUCAUGUAUUUUUUUUAAAUACGGUUUAUGUACAUGUCACCCUUUUGAAGGUGAAAUCGAGCUGGAUCGGACAACUAAGAUUUACGAAUAUGUAUUGCCAAAAUUGGACGGUUUUGUAACACACAUGGUAAGUAUCUUGCCUUUAUUCUCAUUUGUAUUUUUAUGUCCUUUUUAUGGUUAUGUAAUUUAUUUUCUAUGUUGUCAAUAUUAAAGUACUCUAACUAGCAUUCUAAUGCUUUAAUAACAUAAGACAAAGUUGUAAAAAAUUACAAGCAAUUUUGCUUUUUGCAAAAAUUAUUUUAGAAUUCGAGUAAAAAAAAGUUUGAUUCGGUGUUGAAAUAAGAAAAUAUAGUAAAAGUUCACAAAUAUAAAUCCCUUCAAAGUUAGAUGGUAAGAAAAAUAAUGAAUUAGAAUAAGAAAAAAUUCUUACAAAAAAGGAAUAGUUGUUUAAGAAAUUAAUACUUGAAGAUUGAAAAUAUAAUAAAAUAUUUCUAAAAAAUAAUAAUAAAACUUGCCUCGGAGUAAAGGAUUUGGAAGAUCAUAGAAACAAAAGUCCGAUACAAUAAUAUUUCAGAUUGUGUUUAUACAAUGACUAUUUGAUUUUUUUCUUUUAUUGAUGUAUUUACCUUAGUAGGGCAAGAGGCUGGUAUGCCUUAGGAAAGAUUUAAAGAGGAAUGUCAAAGAAGAUGAUUAAUCAAUUGAUAAAUCACAUUUAGAGGGACAAGAUUAGUGAAAAUUUGUUUAAAAAGUAUAGAAAUAAUUGUUUAAGUCAUUAAUACCUAAAGAUUGAAAACAUAAUUAAAAAAAUCUCUAAAAAAUAAUAAUAAGACUUGCCUCGGAGUAAAGGAUUUUGGAGGUCAUAGAAACAAAGCUCUCUAAAACAAAUGGUAUUUCAAAUUGUGUUUAUACAAUGAUAGUUUGUCUUGUUACUGAUGUAAUACCUUAGUCAAUAGAGCAAGAGGUUGGUAUAACUUAGUAAAGUGUAUACCUGGCAAUUGGACAGGUUGGGCUGGUUUUAGGCGGGUUAAUAUUGGGUUUUCAUUUAAAUGGGUUACACCCAAUCCGCUUAACUUUAGAUUAGGUUAAUUUUGGGUUGGGUCAUAUUAGGUCAUCUCAAACCCAUGAUCCAAAUAUGACCCAAUAUAUCAAUUAACAGAUUUUGAUACAUAAACUCUCUCAAAUAUAUUUUCACAUAUAAAAAAAAAAUUUAAGUGGGUGCCCAACACAAAUACCCAAACAGCCUAAAAAAAGAUUUUAUGCUAAUAUUUUCACAAAGAAAGUAUGGUAAUUUUGGAUUUAUGUAGUUUUUACAUAUUGAGAAUACGGUUUAUAAAAACAAAAAUCUUUUAGCAUGAAUGAGUUAUGUGGUAUUAUUAAGCACCGAGGGCAUGAGUAGUUCUAAGUUAACAUUAAUGUCUCAAAAUUAAUUUCGAAUUUAAUAAUAUUCAAAUUCUUCAUAUUGAACAUUUUGAUGACGAUAAUAUAAAUGAAAAAAAGUCACAUUGUAGCUAAAUAUCUAACUCAUAAAUGCAAAUUAAUUUUUUUAUCACGAUGAAUCUUGGCAACUAUUCUAACACAUCUGGCCUUUUCCAUAUCUAGGAUAAUACCCACUACAAGAAAAAUGUCCUAUUAUGACAUACCUAUAAGGACACUUUUUUGUAAGUGUCAUUUUACAUGUUUUAUGAAGACAUAAAAAAGUGAGUGUCAUAAUAAAAUAACAUGAACCAAAUACCAUUGCACUUUGUUUUAUAUUUUUCUAAAGGGAUAAUUUCAGAAACCUCCCCUGAGGUUUCUGACAAUUUCACUGACCUCCCCUGAGGUUUCCACAAUUACACUGACCUCCCCUGGCAGAACUUGGGACCCAAUUGCUGACAUCAUAUAAUGCAAAAUUACUAUUAUACCCAAGACAUUUUGUGUUUUGGAUAGUAUUGGAUUGCAUUUCUAUUUAUUUAAUGUAUGGUUAUGAAAUUUGUAAUGAUAUUACUCUUGGAUUGCAGCUUUGGUUUGCACCUUAUUACUGUUAAGGUUUUAUAAAUGACUGUUUUAGUUCUUGGAUUGCACCUUACCUCCAAAAUUUGGGAAUUUGCCCAAAUUUUCCAUUUUCUAAUAUUCCUACAAAUAUGCAAAAUUAUGCAUAUCCCUCAAAUCUACCCAAUAUUAAUGUUUUGUUAAACUCUAAAUAACAAAAAUAUGAAAUAUAUUAUUUAAAUAUAUUUUAGUUACACACAAGUUGGAUGGGUAACUAGUGUGUCAGAGAGUUGCCAUAAUCUCCUUAAACCCGCAUGCGGGUUUAAAGAGUAUUCGGAUAUUCUCAUAUGCACUUAUGCAAAUCGAACCAAUCGGAUAUCUUAUCCGUAUCCCAUUUUUUUAAAUAAAAAUCUUAUAAAUUUGAAAAAUAAAAUCAAAUUUAGAUGUAUUAGGGUUUUAAAAAUAUUAUAUAAGUGAUAAAAAUUUUAUAAAUUGUAAAAAUAAAAUCAAAUUUAAAUAAUUAAAUGUUAUAUUUGCAUAAGAAAUAAUACAAUAAUCAUAAUAAUGAUAAUACAAUAAUAUUGAUGUAAUAAAACUGCCAUUAAUUUAAAUAUUUACUUAUAAUGCCCAAAGAGACUAAUUACCAAUUUUUUCUUCUCGCGCUCAAAUAUAACAUUAACCCGCAUGCGAGCUAACCUUGAAAUAGAAAAAACACAGAAUCCCGCUUGCGGGUUUCAGCGUUAUUAUGCAGGCGGGAUUUUAACCUGCUUGCUUGUGAACAUGUACCACAUUGCUUUGAAUUUUUGUGACAAGAGGAAAGCUUUGUCUGAUGAAUGUAUUUGUGAAAUGACCUGAGUGGUGGUAGAUGGGUUAAUUGGGUCGGUUGCGUUACCCAAUUGUUUAUAUCCAUAAGUAAAAUUUUAUGAUUCCCAUACCCAUCUAUUCAUGGGCGGUAUGGUAAAUGUAGUUCAAUGGACAAGUCAAAAAACGAGUUUGGCAACCCAAUUGACAAGUCAGGGGAGGUUUCUGAAAUUAUCCCUUUUCUAAAUUGAAAAUUUUGAUAUGUCAAAUUAGAAUAGCUAUUAGGGCAUUACUUGUGAAUGUCAGCAGAAGUAAUAGGAAAUUGAGAUAGAAACGACGUAGUUUUGUCACUGGUAUAAAUGAAAUGGAGAAAAAGCGCGGGGAAAAGAAAAAAAAAACGCGGCAAGGAAAAUUUUGCCGCUUCACUAAAGUUUGCCCAAUACAUUUCUCUUUGAAAGGUCUCCGCCUCUUACAAUUCACACCAAAAAGUUCCCUCAGUUUCUUCUCCAAAUCUAAACCCUUGGACCCUAUUCACAAAAUCCAUCAUCGUCAAAAUCAAUCUUCCAUUUCUGCCUCUUUUUUUCAUUCUUUAAUCCCUACCCUCUCUCUUUCUAUCUUGAGUUUUUAGAUGCACUCCAAUUUGACCAGAAGAAGAGAAGGAUGGUUUAGUGGUUAAAAGGUAAGUGUAUUAUGGGUUUUUGAAAAUCAUAUGCUUUGCCUGCCCACUGAAUUAUUUUCUCCCCUGUUGCUAGUUUGAUUUUUUUUUCUUUUUUUAAAAUCUGAUUUCUAUGUUGAGUAUUAAUAAUGUGAUGGAGAAAAACAUGGGGCAAUAUUAAAAGCAGUUGGCUGGUUGAUUGAAUGCUGGUUUUUUUUUGCUGGUAUCUUAUGUAAUGCCACAUAGAAUGUGUCCGCCUCCUUGUUUCGGCCUUGGGGCCAUCGACAGUACCAAUUCAGGACUCAGGAGGUAGUCCCAUUCUCCCACCGCGGCCGAUUGUUAAUAUUAAGCAAGACAAACCCAUCAAACCCUGCCGUGUGAUCUGGUAUUUGGCGACUAAGCCCGAUCGAUCAAUUGAGGCUUCCUUUUGCAAUCCUGUUGAAUUUCUAAGCACCUUUUGCAUUUACUUUAGCCUACUGAUUCUACAAAGUACUUUGGCAGUCAGGUAAUAAUACGCUGAUACAAAGUAUAAUAAAGUGUAUAAAAAUAGUGGUAGAGUUUUUUUUUUAAAUUCAAGUACAAAAGUGGAAGGGAAAGGGGAAAAAUGGAUGUCUGAGAAUUGAAUCAGGACAUUAUGAUUAUGUAGUUAAUGCUUCUCUCAACCGAAUUGGAACUUGGGAAUUGGUUUCUAUUCCUACGUUAGUGCAACUGGGCUGGCACAAAAUAUAGGAUAUAGAAUCCCAGGUGCUUUACUUCUAUUGACUAGUAACUACUAAGAAUGUCAAAGAUGGUGUACUGUUCAUGUCAUUUGGUUUCGGAAAAACAUGUAAAAUUUGGCAAAGUCAGAACUAGUGAAUUGGGAAAAAAGUUAACUGUUAGCAAUUGUUUGAGUUGUAGUUGAGUUUCCAAACUUGAUUCAUAUUAUGGUAAUAUGGCAAUUAAGUUUACCAAAAAAAUAAUUGGCACCAAUACAGAGGUUUCUAAAUUUUAACUUGUAAAGCAAAGUUGGUCCCUCAAACAUGAACAUAAAAUCUUUUUAUUUCUUGAGUUUAGAUAAAAUUCCUGCUAUCCCAAUGUUUUUUAUGAAAAUGUUAUUCAAUGAGAAUAAUUUGCAUUUGUGGUUUUCUAUUCACAUGGGGAAAAUGUGCAUGCCUUGGAUCAUUUUCAUGCAUAUGUUGGUGCAUUUAUAUAUGUACAUAGAGAAAGUAAGCUGAUGCCUUGUUCUGUUUGCUUCAUAAUAAUGUGCAUGCCUUGUUCUAUUUGCAUAGUAAGCUGAUGCAUUUAUAUAUGUUGGUGCAUUUAUAUUUUCAUGCCCUGUUCUGUUUGUUUCAGAAUAAUUAGGAAAAGUCAUUCAGCACUUUUGGUUCUUUCUCAUUUUUUUAAAAUAUUCUUCAAGAAAUUUGCAAGCUGAUGUUAUUUUUCUUCUUGAAUAAUUAGAGAAGUACGUACAGCACCUAUUCAAAAUAUUAAAAUUUUACUAAAGUUCAUUAAUGUUUCACCACAGGUUUGAAUUAAAGAUAGCUAUCUGUGAAAAGAAAUCAUUUUGAAGACGUUGCACAUUGAUUUCGCUAGAGGUACAAGCCAACUUAUAUUCUUGUGUUCUUUUUUAUUAGGAAUUAGAUUAAGUUACAUAUAUGAUAUUAAAUUUGUUCAUUUGUUUGAACCUGUAAUGUACGUUCAUUUUCAUCUUUUGGUCAUUUGGAUUCUUAAUUUUUUUUAAAACUGGAGUGUCAUUGCAGUAGAUAUAUUAUAUGACCUGCAAAUUUUAUUCUUAACAUUGAUUUGUGUAAAAAACUAUUUACUUGGUGACACGUGAUAAAUGGCUAGUAGCGGAAAACCUUUGGGGUUCUCAUGUCUUGUGCUUUUAUCUCAAACAGUGACCUUCUCGUUGACUUCCAAAUAGCUUCUUGGUAUCAUAAUAAUUUUUUGGUUGUAUGAGUGAUGCUCUUUGUUAAUAUUAUUCUUAAUUGCUUUCUUUUGCUUAUAUAUGUAUAUGUAUAUGUAUGUAUGUGUAUAUUUUAAGGUUAAAUUUGUCAUGGUUACAGAAUAUGGAUAAAACUUGGAUGCAAAAGAAUAGACGAAGCAAAGAAUAUUGGGAUGGUUUGCAAAAAUUCUUAGAUUAUGCAUUCCAGAAUUCAAGUAUAAAUGGGAUGAUAUUAUGUCCAUGUAAAGAAUGUAAGUGUGGUGUAUGUAUUACCAGGGAGAAUGCAGAACUUCAUUUGAAAGUUUAUGGUUUUGUUAAAGGAUACACCCAUUGGGCAGCUCAUGGAGAAUUUGUUUACUCUAGUGCACCAAAACCUACUUCCUAUGAUAUCUCACAUGGGGUACGGGAUGAACUUGAUGACAUGCAUGGUUUGGUUCAUGAUGCAAUGGGAAUUCCUGAACAAGAUUAUACAAGGAUAGAUGGAACUGAAUACAAAAGCCAAUUGCCCAAUGUAGAAGCUGAAAAGUUUUACAAUCUAAUUGAUAAUUCUAACAAAGAGCUUUACUCUGGAUGUAAAAGAUUCUCAAAACUUUCCUUUAUGAUUCGGUUGCUUCACCUCAAAUGCCUUGGUAAACUCAGCAACAAAAUUUUUGAUAUGUUACUUGAUUUGUUGAAAGAAGCCUUUCCAGAUGCAAUGGAUGGUUUGCCUAAGUCUUAUUAUGAAGCUGAAAAGUUAAUGAAGGAAUUAGGACUUGGGUAUGAUAAAUAUGAUGCAUGUCCGAAUGACUGCACUUUAUAUUGGGGGGUAGAUGCAAGAAGAAAGCAUUGUGAAACAUGUAAAGAAUCUAGAUGGGUUAAAUCUGAAAAUGAUCCGACUGGUGAGGGAAGAAAAAUACCGCAUAAGGUUUUAUGGCAUUUUCCCCUAAAACAUAGGUUACAACGCCUAUUUAUGUCCUCCAAAAUUGCAGGCCAUAUGAGAUGGCAUGCAGAAGGUCGUACUAAGGAUGGUAACAUGAGGCACCCUGCUGAUUCUCCAUCUUGGCAAACAUUUGACUUUCAUCAUCCAGAAUUUUCUCAAGAUUCUCGUAAUGUGAGGUUGGGCCUAGCAUCAGAUGGAUUUAACCCAUUCAAAAAUAUGAGUUCAACUCAUAGCACUUGGCCGGUAAUAUUGAUGCCAUAUAAUUUGCCGCCAUGGAUGUGUAUGAAACAAUCGAACUUUAUGUUGUCAUUGUUGAUACCCGGUCCAUUUGCACCAGGAAAUAAUAUUGAUAUAUAUUUAAAACCUCUCAUAGCAGAAUUAAAGGAAUUGUGGGAUGUUGGAGUGAAUACAUAUGAUGCAUCAAGAAAAGAAAACUUUCAACUUCGUGCAGCACUUUUAUGGACCAUCAGUGACUUUCCAGGUUAUGCAAUCCUCUCCGGAUGGAGCACUAAAGGAAAACUUGCAUGUCCUGUAUGCCAUAAAUACACAUCUUCACAGCAUCUGCAAAAUUGGGGAAAAUAUUGCUAUAUGGGGCAUCGAAGGUACUUGGAAAUGAACCAUCCAUUUCGCAAAGAUGCUAAAUCUUUCAAUGGAGCUGUAGAGUAUGGAAAACCACCAGGAAGGUUAAUGGGGUCUACAAUUUUAGAUGAGUUAGCUGGUUAUAGUAUUAAACUUGGGAAGACAGUUAGUGACAAUCCAGAAUUGCCAUUUAAUUGGAAAAAAUUAAGUAUUUUCUUUGAUUUGCCCUAUUGGAAAGACAAUAUGAUACGUCAUAAUCUUGACGUUAUGCACAUUGAGAAGAACAUCAGUGAGAUCAUUGUGGCUACAUUGUUGAAUCUGGAAAAAACCAAAGAUAAUAAAAAGUCACGUCUUGACCUUCGUGCUAUGGGUAUAAGAUCAGAAUUGCAUCCCAUUGAGAAGGGAAAUGGUAGGAGUGUUCUGCCUCCAGCUUGCUUUACAAUGAAAAAGAAGGAAAAGGAGAUAUUUUGCAAAGUUUUGAAAGGGAUAAAAGUUCCAGAUGGCUACGCAGCAAAUAUUUCUAGAUGUGUUAAAGUAAAGCCACCAAAAAUUUCUGGAUUAAAAAGUCAUGAUUACCAUAUUUUGAUGCAACAACUUCUCCCAAUAGCUCUGCGCAGGACUUUAUCAAAAGCAGUUCGCUCUCCUUUGAUCAAAUUGAGCAGGUAUUUUCGCAAGUUGUGCUCCAAAGUUUUGGAUCCAGCAGAUUUAGUUCAUUUGGAAAAAGAGAUUGGUAUCAUACUUUGUCAAUUAGAAAGGAUUUUUCCACCAUCCUUUUUUAAUGUGAUGGUACAUCUAGCUGUUCAUUUGGUUAGCGAAGCGAAAAUAGGAGGGCCUGUCCAUUACCGGUGAAUGUAUCCUAUAGAAAGGUACUCAUGAAAUAUUUAAGUGAAGUAUUUUGAAAAUUUUAGACAUUUUUUAUCAUUAACUUCAUCUCAAUAUUCUAAACCUGAAUUAAAACUUGCCUUGUCAAGGUAUUUAGGAACUUUGAAAUCCUACGUCCGAAAUAGAAGUCGACCAGAAGGCUGUAUUGCUGAAGGGUAUUUAGCUGAGGAAUGUUUGAAUUUUUGUUCCUUAUACCUAGCUGAUUAUGUUGAAACGAAGUUUAAUCGGACAAGUAGAAAUGAUGAUGUGGGCAACACCUCAAGUGAAGGCUUCGAUGUAUUUUCCAGUUCAUGUCGUCCAUUAGGAAAAGGAACUCCAACAAAUUUCAGCAAUGAAAUUUUGAGAAAAGCACAUCAAUAUGUGCUAUUUAAUUGCGACCACAUCAAGCCAUAUGUUGAGUAAGUAAAUUCCUUUCAAUUCAAAAAAUUAUAUAUGUUAAAUACUUAGUGAGUUUCUAUAUGCAGCCAACACCAUAAAAUGGUGGAGGAGCAAAAUCCAUGUGCUGGAAAACAUGUCAUUGAGCGUAUUCAUUGUGAGAACUUUGCAGAUUGGUUUUCGGACCAUGUAAGCUCAACAAUCUUACAGGUUCUAUUAUCUUUUUUUUUUAUGCAUAAAAGAAGAAAUUUGUCAUUGUUACAUUUUGUAUAUAAUAGGUUAAACAGAUUCAAGUGGCUGAUGGUGUUGACAUCUCCAAAGAUUUGAAACUUCUGGCUAGGGGUCCAAAUAAUGUGGGGAGAACAUAUCAAAAGAUUCUUGUCAAUGGCUUUCGCUUCCAUACAAGACAAUUAGAAUCUCAGAGGAAAACUCAGAAUAGUGGGGUUCUUGUCAAUGCAACAACAUCAAGCUUUUCGAGUACUAAAGAUAAUAAUCCAAUUUUAAGUGACUUGGCUUACUAUGGUAUUUUGACGAAUAUCCUUGAGUUAAAUUACACUGAAGGCCGAACUGUCACCUUAUUUGAAUGUGAUUGGAUAUCAAAAGGCAAAAGAUUAAAGCAAGAUGAGGAUGGAUUCACAUUGGCCAACUUCAAGAAUGUAAAGCCUCACCCUGAGCCAUAUGUGAUAGCAACCCAAGUUUCACAAGUUUUUUAUGUUGAAGACCCUUUAGCUGAAGGCUGGAGUGUUGUUGUUGCUACAUCUCCUAGGAAUGAGUUUAUGAUGGACCCCGUAUGUGAUAUUGAGAUGUAUUUGCAGAGCACAAUUACCUCAACAACUCAAAUGGACAAUGAGAAUGAAGACAUUCGAUGGGUUCGAGAAGAUGAUGGAGAUGAAAUACUCCACUAGCCUGAAUUGUUGAAAUGUUUGGUUUUUGCUAUUAAAACUGUAAAAGUUGUAACUAUAAACGUGGUUGCAAUUUCACAUGCAUUUUCUUGUAGAUGCAAAUUCAGAUUAACCUUGUUGUGCCUUUGCAUUUGUCUAUUUUAAAUUUUCUGUUUUAACUUACUUACUUGCACUUUAAAAUUGAUUUGUUAGUAGAUGAAAAUUUUCAGUCUAGUUGUAGCCUUUCUAUUAUCAUAUUCGUUUGAGAUUUUGCUAUCCUUUUUGUAUUUGUGUUCUUUUAUUUGUUAAAUGUUUUUAUUUGUAGGAAUGGCAAGGACUAAAAGACAGAAGAUUACCGGAAAUACACUUGUUGAUCAACACGAGGAUAUAGCUGAAAAUCAGAUUCACAUUGAGGAGCCUAACUCUACAGGUACAUCUCUAAUAAGUCAUGCCCAGUUCUGAUUUUCAUUCUUGAGAUUCAGUUUCAAAACUUUUAGUUCUACUAGUUUCUUUUGGUAAUGAAAUUCACCGGCGUCAUAUUUCAUGGUUAUAGAUGAAGAAAAUGCAGAUGAAAAUUCACAAAGAAAAACUAGAGGGCCAACAUAUAUGACAGAAAUAUGGGGUAAACCUAGUAGUUGUCAUCGGUACAAAGUUAGAUUUGAUAAGGAUGGUGAGCCUGUUGGCAAGAACAAGUCCAAAUUUACUGAGUUCUUAGGAACAAUAGCAAGAAAUGGAAAGUAUGCUCCUCUAGACGUGACAGAUUGGCGUGAAAUGACAAAUGAUAAGAAGCAAGACAUGCUUGUAUUGGUGAAGGUAAUGCACAUUUUGCUUGAUGCAAAUAUACAGCUGUACCCUUUAUAUGACAAAAAUAUGGAUCUAACUAUUUGAGGUGUUAUUGUAGGAAAAAUUUCGUCUUCCUCCAGGUGCAGAUUUUUGGACUUUGAAAUCAAUCGGCAAAAAAUGGAGAAAUUGGAAAUCAGCUUUAAAGGCAAAAUAUUACAAUCCAAAUGAAUCCAUUGAGAGUCAAAUUAACAAUAGGGAUCAGCGGAUCUUGAAAGAUCAGUGGAGAAAUCUUCUGGCUUACUGGAGCUUAGAGGAAACAAAGGUAUAACUGUUUUAACUAUUAAAUAUCAACCAUUAUGUUGAGAUUAUAAGUUUUCACUAUUUUUCUAUAAUUUCAGAAUACCAGCGAGAAGAAUAAGAUGAGUCGGGCUAAGAAAACAAUGAAUCAUAAGACAGGGAAGAAAUCGUAUGCUCAAAUUCGAAAGAAAUUGGUAAAUCUUUUAAACCUUUUAGUUUCAUUUAGUUUUUUCUUGUAUCACCUAGUGGUCUUAUGAAGACUUCAUUUUCUAUAGAUGAAAAAAUUAGGUCAUCUCCCAUCACGAGUUGAUAUGUUCGAACACUGUUAUACUGACUCAAACGGAAACCCGGGAAAUGAUGACGUUGCAGCUACAUUAGUAAGUUAUUAAUUGGUUGAUGAAAUUAGUACUCUAAAUGACUUAAAUUGAAUUUAGUAAUAUUGAAUUUUUUCUGGAUUUUAAAUACAGCAAGCUUUGAAGGAAAAAGUUAGCCAACUUCCCCCUGGUUCUAAUGAUGAUGUUGGUCGUAAUGAUGCAUUUGCCCAAGUAUUUGGGGAAGAUAACAAUGGGCGUGUGCGCAUGUAUGGUCUAGGUGUGACACCAUCAGACAAAUGGGGUAACGUACCUAGUCGCAGCACUUGUCAGCGUAUCGUUAUGGAGCAAAAGGCAGCAAUUUCUAAGAUGGAAGAUAAAUUUGCUGAGCAAGAUCAGCAGCUGAAAGACCAAGCCAAAGAACUUGCAGAGCUCAAAGCAAUGGUGUGUCAGCAGCAAAAUAGUGGCUCAAAAACUGGUGGCUCGAUAAAUUCAACGUCCUCUAAUCAUGUUUCAAAAUCUCCUAUGGGUGCUCGUUCUCUUCAGGUAUAUUCAUGAUUAUUUUUCAAGAAUUUAUUGUGAUUAUACCAUAUGAGGAUACUCACUUUUGUUGUUUGAAACUUGUUGAUUCAUUAAACUGCUAUUUUGUUUGGUUAUAUUGAAUAGUAAAACAUGGUAAUUUCAACUUAGUAAAGUCAUGGUUAUUAAGUUUUAUUGCUGAAAAUUGGAGAAAUGCUCAAAAUGCAGGGGAAACUCUACCAAAAUUUUUUAAAAAAUAAAUCUACCUAAUUCAAUUCUAUGACUUCAAAUUAUCUUGUAGGAAGGUGAUUGGGUGGAUAUUUUCAGCUUGUUUGAUCCAACAAAAUGUCUAGCUAUUGGUCGUCUCCAAGGAAUUGAUCCUUCUAAAGUUGUUGGUGGACAACCAUUAGGACCAUGUUGGUGUGAAAUACUAGUACAAAUCGUGAUGGAACGCAAUGAACAAUUGAUUAGGCCUUAUGGGCUAUUGCAAACAAUUGAAGAUGCACUUGGUGCACCGAUUGCUUGGCCACUGAAAUUGGUAUAAUUUGACACAAGAUUGUUCAAGUUUUUUUCUUUACAAAUAUUUGUAAGUUGGAUGGAUAAUGAAGUGGUGUUCUUACUUAAUCUACUAAUUUUAUAGGUGAAGAUUCAUGAGGAUUGACAGUAGCCUUUUGUUUGGAGAAGCAAGAGUUGGACAGCAGCCUUUUGUUAGAGAAGCAAGAGUUGGACAGCAGCCUUUUGUUUAGAGAAGCAAUACUAGUUUUUGAGUUAACUUCAAAUUUGUGGAAUAUUUUGUGUUCUUGAGAAUGUUGCUGGAUUCUAUUGCAAGAGUUGGAUGACAGCCUUUUGUUUAAAGAAGUAUUAAUGCUAGUUUUUGAAUUAACUUCAGAUUUGUGGAACUUUUUGCUUUAUUUAGGAUGUCACCAAUUUUUUACUUUCAAGCAGAUUUAUAUUCUUUGGCAUAGUGGUUGUCUUACAAUUGCAUAUUAUGUGUUUGGCGUAUUGUAUUAGGAGAUUAGAGUAGAAAAUUUAGAUGAAAAUUGCACAAAAAAAAGACAUCUAUUGAGGCACUUGCCAAUGCCUACAUUGAAACUAAUGCACCUAGUAAAACCACAUAUUGUGACACUUUUUGAGUGUUUGGAGAUUCCUUUUUACAAUGGUAGAAAAUGCCUUGAAAGACAGGUAAACACUACACUAUAAACUGCCUCCAUUAAUGUAUAUAAUGCACUUCAUUGUGCCUAGACAAUUACUUUUUGGCAACACGUAAAAGUGUCCUAAAAAGGGCAAAAAUGAUACCAAGUAAAGUGCUUUUAUAGGGCAUCUUUAGAGGCAUUGGUGUGUGCCUAUUUGCAAUUUCUAUCAUGGCAAUUGUGAAUGCAUCAAAUUCAUUAAACAUGACGUUAAAAAAUGCCUCCAACCUUUUCCAAACGGGUAGUUUAGUAGACAUUUGAUGUGUGCGCCUCAAUAGUCUAAGUGCCUCUAAAAGUUUCCUAUUGCAUCAUUUUGUUGCGCCUCCAAAUAUAAUUUUUCUUGUAGUGACCCUAUUAAGCAUGUAACCAAGGAAGUAAAAAUAGGCCAAGUAAAAAAAUUUUAACUUGCUUGGCGAAUUAUGUUAUAAUCACGAAAGAUGUUAAGAUUGUGUUGAUUAUUCACUUGAUUCAAUUAGCAAAAGUUGGGUAAUGGGUGCCCAAUACAAAUACCCAAACCGUCCAAAAUAUAUGUGAGUUUUUAUUACCCAAUCCAAAAUUGACUCAAUACCCAACUUACCCAACCCAACCUCUCAAAUUAGUGGGUGGGUUGUUGGGUUUUGGGUAUAAUUGCUAGGUCUAGUAAAGUUAUAAAGAUGAGUGUUAAAGGUAGUGGUUAAUUAAUUGAUACUAACAUCUAAAGGGACAAAAUGAGUGAAAUUUUGUUAAGUUAUUAUAAAUAGAUAUACUUAAAAUUGGCUUUUAAAAAGUUUUGGGGGCUCCUGCCCCUCUCCGCCCUCCCUUUGUCUGCGUCCUUGGUUUACACCUACUAUGACCUCAGAUUCCUAAGGCUUUUUGGGAAUCGGAUUAUAUAUUUGGUCUUCAUUAUGGAAGGUAGGGUUAUGGGUAAGAAAAAUACUCCCUCCGUCCCGUUUUGUUAGUCUUGGUUUUUUUUUCACACAAAUUAAGAAAGUGUAAUUAAUUUGGUUGGAAACAUAAAUUUAGAUUAAUAAUUUCCUAAAAUACCCUUAUGCUAAUCACGAGGAGUGCAUUGGAAAAACUCAAUGUAUUCAAUGUAGUGGGUUAGUAUUUAAUAACAAUGUAUUAAUAACAAGAUAUUUAAUAAGGAUAUUUUAGACAAUUUGAAAGAUUACUACAUUCCUUAAUGGGAAAGUGGACUAUAAUUUGGGACAGACAAAAAAGGAAAACAAGACUAUUAAAGUGGGACGGAGGGAGUAGUGAUGAUACAUCAUUGAUAAUCCUACUGAAAUUGUAAAGGCUCUAGCUUUUUUUGGGAAUUGGAUAGUAUAUUUGGUCUUCGUUAUGGAAGGUAGGGUUAUGGGUAAGACAAAAAUAGUGAUGAUACAUCAUUGAUACUGAAAUUGUAAAGGCUCUAACUUUUUUUUUUUUUUUUUAAUUUCAUUUCAAACUUAUAGUUCAUAAGAACUAAUGCACCUACACUCUAGUUCUAUUUGUUCGUUUAAUAUCUCUUUGGUUUCAUUGACGUAAUGAAUAUCCUUACAAAUUAGUACGUGUAUUCAAUACAUGUGGCAAACAGAACCCCACAUGCUUAAUAAAUUUGGCUUUCACGUAGUCGGAAAUUAUCUCUUCACAGCUCUUUCAACAAUUUUUUCUUCAACUGUAUUCAUUGCUAAUGAUGAUGCAGUUGGAGUCAAAGUGUAAUGGACAAUACUAGAAGUCAUGACUUGUUCCUAGUGCAGAUGGUACAAUUACUAGCCAUGCUUUGUAGAAUCCAUAAUUUCGAGAAAUUUUGGAGCCUUGAGAAAUGAGAUGAUAGAGUUUCAAGAGGUCAAAAAGUGAUCAGUAGUGAUGGAGGUGUGUGGUGGUGGUGAUUGGUAAGACAUGGAAGCGUGAAAUGGAGGAGUGUUCGAUUGGAUCAUGUGUUGUUUCCCCUUCCCGAUGGGAGGCUACGAGUGUGAAGUUUUGUGUGUUAUGAAUACAUGUUCUUGGGUUUAGGAGCCAAAUUACUUAAUUACACUUACAUGCAGAUUGGGUCGGAUAUAUUGGUAGAUAUAUGAGACCAGGAUUCACGUCGAAUCUACUAGAAAAUAACAUUUGAACAUGUUUUUUUUAUUCAAAAAAUCAAUUUGAUCAAAUGUCCAAAUUUUUUUCCCCCACAAUGCUUUUUGUUAAAAUAAAUUAUCAGAGGGAAAGUGCGUGGAAAAAAUAUUAAACGGGAAGUUAUCGAAGAAAAGUAAAAAGUAUAAUAGAUUAAAAAAAAAAGCUACGAUAUGAUUACUUUUGAAUAGAUAGAUUAGUGUAUCAUUUUGGAAUUCAUAAGAUUUGUCACUUAUAUCAUCUUUUUGGAUUUCAGGUUACGACUUGUUUCAUACUUUUCGCACUUUGGUUCUAUUUGCGAAUUGGGCUGCCCCUUCCAUUUGUCCCUAUAGGAAUAGUGAAGCUUGCUUAUAUAUCCCACUAUAUUCCAACAAUGAUGGUAUGUAUAUUUUUAUUUUAAUUAUUGUGAUUAGCAGCAAGCUAUCAUAUUUAAUAAUGAUUAACCUUUUUUAAUAGUGAUUAUGUAAAAUUUUUUUAGCAUAUUACUGUUGUUUGUCAUGUCAUAGAGGAUGGAUGACAUUUUAAUAAAAAUUACAAGCAUGAACAUGAAUUAAUUUGGCUGAAUAAUAUUUUGUGUGGUUGGCUAAUUUUGUUUGAUUUUGAAUCAAUAAUAAAAAUUUGCUUGAUUUUGUCUUGGUCUUCUUUGGUUUGCAGGGACUUUUGGCCUAUGUAGUGGUUGAUCGGGCUUAUGCUGAGCACCUGAAGAAUAACAAAGGACGAGGAAUAAGAAGAGGGGAAGCACCUGAAGAUCGAAUAAGAAAGGAUAAGGAACAAGUUGAAGGAAACUAGAAUACCAAAAGAAAUUACAUUCAUUUAACAUUUGUUCUGCGUGCAUUUAUUUUCAAACAGCUGAAAUCCACGUAUUGUUUAUUUCCCAAGGUCUUGUUCAAAGCUGAAGAAGACCAUUUAGGUUUUGUACUCUUGAAUGGGGUUUUGCUUCAUGGGAUUUUCGUCAAUUUCUUCUUAAAUAUGAAGGCAAGGCAUUAUGGUGAAUGUGAUUGGUGGAUACAAAAGCUUUGUGGUACUGGAAUAUACUAGAUUCGUGUACUUCUUCAUCAUUUAUCCGUACCAACUUUCUUCAGUAACGGAUGUUAUGCAGGACACAGUGGAGUUUUGAAAAGCUCUAGUUGUUCUGCAGUUGUAAUGAACGCAUAUCAUUUUGCGUGAUAAGAUGCUUUUUGCUUCCUACAAACAACAAAUUUUAAUUACUUUAAAUUAUGGUCCAUGGGCAGACUUUAGAUUACGGUUCAUGGUAACUUUAAUCAGAUCGAGCAAAGAUCUUCCAUAUCAGCCAUUUUCAUGUCUUCUUGUUACAGAAUUGCAGGUCACUAUGAAAUUUGUGUAUAUUUAACAGUACUCAAUUGCCUUUUUGCCUGACAGAAUAUCUUUUUUCAAGGUGCAAGCAUGAUGCUGAAAAUUUUAAAUUCUAUUAUUCUGUUUUACUUUUUUUUUUGAGCAUUUCGAGUACGACUUAACUGCUGCUGGCUUUGUGCAUCAGUAAAGUCUAUACAUGGCCAUACUCUGAUCUAACGUCUGAUGUAAGGUUUAGGUUUUCACAUAGUUAUGUUUGACCGUCAUCUGAUGAUCAAUUCUUCGUUCGUCAACUGAGAAUGAUGAUACUUCACUCCAGUUUUUCAUAAUUUGUUUCAUAGAGUCAUGAUGGUAGAUGCAAGAAGCUGAUUGAACAUCAUGAUCAAAAUUGUAUCGGCAAGCAUUUCUGUUGUUGACACUACAAUGGAUAUUAAGCUUUCAACUUUUUGAUUCACCUUGAAGUCACCUUGCAAUUGUGGCAAUUAAUCUAUUUAUAGGGUACCCUUUUAUUCCCUUGACCCAAGUAAAACUAGAGGUGUCAAAACGAGUGACUCGAGCGGGUUUGGACGGAUCAUAAUUGGGUAAUAGGUAUGAUUGGGCCAAAACAUUUAUACCCAUUUUUUUAUUCAUUCAAUAAAUGGAUCAAAAUUAGUCAAUUUAUUCAUACCCACACGUCCAGUUACUCAUUUAUGACUCGAUCACUUGAGAUUAUACUUAUUUUUAAAAUUAUUUUGCAUGUUUUUUGACAAAAAAGUAACGAUGUUUUGUUAUUAUUAGAUUACUAAAAAACUCAUAUUUGUCUGCUUAACAUUCAUUAAAAAUUAAGUUUAAAUGCAUAAUUAUUUUUAAAUAGAUAUAAAUGGAUGAAUCGAGUCAAUUCACUACCAACCAAUUAAAUGGGUUUAAUUAGAUAUGCAUUUAGACCCAUUCAAAAUUCAUCGCAUAUCCAAAUUCACUUAUUAGUGAGCAAAUUUGGGCGAAUUAACAUCAUUAGACUAUAGGUUGACACCUCUGGUUAAAAGACGAUGAAUGAGAAAGCAUAAUAAUCAGACUAUGCAGUUACCGAUUAGAAAUCAUUCCUACAAUUUUGUGAUGAGAAGAGUUCACUUGUAAAAAGAGCAGCUAUCAGAACAUGAGAUACCACCAUAAGUGUACAAUUCAAUAGUUCCUUCAGCUCUGAGAUACCACCAUAAGUGUACAAUUCAGUUCCAGUAGAAAUUUUUCUGCAGGGUAGCUGGCAGAAAGUAGAUGCUAAUGAGCAAAUACAAUUUUUCGUUCGAUUCCAUAGACAUUAGACAGUGCUAGACUUGGUACAAAGAACUGGUUCAAAGAAGAGGAUGGUUUACCUAAUUAUCGAAAGUACUUACUUUUGUAUAUUCAUUACAUCACUUGCCCAGUUAUUUACACAAUUAUAGCCCACUUGAGGAUUAUGGCAACUUCGAUCACGUUACAUAACAAGGUUGCUCGAUGUCAGUCAUGGUGCCCAAGCUUUAGCAAUGAUAUUCGAAAGUAGAAUCUGAAAGUCUGAAAUUAAUAAAUUUCUAAGUCUCAAAGUCUCGAGGGUGGCAUUAUAUCACCAGAUAGCUGACAAACUUUAAUGUUAAGUACUGCACAUUCUGUUCAUGACCAAUCGCGUCCACUUUAUUAUUAUUAUUGGAUUACCAUGGCCGAAAUUUGGAACAUGCAUGUCCACUAAAUUCGUUGUUUUUAAAACCCCCAAAAGGCAUCUUUUUUUUUAAUUUUUUUCCCCAAAAAGCGCCCUUAAACUAUAUAUAUAUUAGUCAUCAAGUGGAAGAUUUGACAUUAGUUUUGAAUAUUGAGAAGCCAAUGCAGUUUUUUUCUCCUAUGAUAUGGGUAGUUUAAUUGUUUUUAACUAGAGGUGGCAACAGUCAAACAAACGGUGGACUUGAGUUUAAUCGAUCUAGAGCUCUUACUUAUCAUACUCCGUUAUUGAGUCGAACUCAACUCUAAAGUAUUCUACUUGAAAGCUUGUCAAACAUUAUGUAUAUAAUCAACAGCCGUUGGAGAUGUUGGUCAAGGGUUUUUCAUGCCUCACCUAGCUAGUAGACCAAAAUUCGAACCUGAUUGCCGGGUUUGGAGGUAGGGUUGGGAGGAUUAAGGAAGGGUAAAGGUUAAAAAGAAAAAGCUUUAUAUAUACAAAUUUUUAAUUUUUUAUACUUGUUAACGUACCUAAAGGUCUGUACUCUUAGGACAAAUUGGAUGUUUGUCAUUUGAACUCAAGCAACUCGACUUGAGAUUGGCCUCACUCUCUAUCUCAAUUUGCAACUUCAAUAAGUUCGAGCCCAAUCUUGAGCUCUAGACAUUGUAUAUAAGUUGACGUCGGACUUCCAAAUUAGAUGUUCAUCGAGUUCGAGUUGAAAGAAACUAAUAUUUGCUCCUGUGAAACUAAAAUCGAUCCUACGUAGGAUCCCGAUUUUACAAACCUUGGCCAUUAGUAGUGGAGGAUACGUGGCUUAGGAACGAGAGAGACAGAAGGUGAGUGAGUGCGAGAGAGAGAGAGAAAGCAAAAAGAAAAUACAUAACACUAUAACUAUUCCUACUACUAACACAAUAUUUGGUUUUCAUCAAAAUCCAUUCCCAUUAACUAGUUUAUUACACUGAUGGUAAUAAUAAUAAUAAUGAUUAUGAAAUUCAUACCAAACAGCAAUUCAAUAACUAUGGCAAGACUUUGGAAUGCGUCGUAAUUUGAAAUGUGAAGUACAAAUAUGAAAAGGUUCUGAAUGAAAAAAGAAAAUGAAUAAAAAUGGAAAACUAAGAGAAUUGAGACGGGCUUUAAUGGGCCUUAAUGAUAUUUUUGGACUUCAAUCUUGAUUUGGGAUUACAAUCUAAUUACUUUCGUGAGUUGAGUCCAAUAGUUAAUACAUCACAUUGAGAUAACAAAAUAGGAUAAUUUUUUUAUAUAUUGUCAAUGUAUGAUUUUUUUUUUCCACUAGUAGAUUUAGAUCAUGUUAUAAAAUAUGAAUUCAAACUUUAAAUUCAAAUCAUGUACAUAUGACAUAUAUCCAACUGUUAGUGUAAAUAAAAAUUACUACACUAUUAGUGCAUAAUAUUGCUGAAAACGAGUCGAGUCGAAUCGAAUUUUGGCCUAAUCGAUUCGAGUCUCGAUUUAGUUUUAUCAAACUCUAACUCUAACUCUAACUCUAACUCCAAAUUAGAUGUUCAUCGAGUUUGAGUUGAAAGAAACUAAUAUUUGGAUUCGAUUUGACUUCUUAGCAUCCCUAACUUUAACCAAUUGCUUAAACUUAUUCUUAUUUAGGUUAGAAUUAUUUAAAAACUCCGCUUAAAACUACAUGUUUUCGGCUUUGUCCUCCUGAUUGUUGAAUGUAAUCAAUCCAUACCCCCAAGGCUUUCAAAGUUGCCCAUGCAAUCAUAAAUUCGUAUGAUUUCAUUGUCUAAUAUGCAUAUGUUACAAGAGUAGCAUGCGUAAAAAAGAAAUUUAAAUUGGCUUUAAAAAAUUGUUACAAGAGAAAUAUAAGUAUAAACCAUAAUGAGAGUAAUGUUCUGGCCAUAUAUAUAGGAAAACAAAAUGGCCAAAUAAAAGGGCCAGAAUCUAAAAGGACCAUGCAUAGGCCUAAACUUGGGUUUUACAAUUUGAAAAACGAUUGCCAAUUGCGUCGAUGAUUUUCUUUUUUCUUUUUUAAUUUGUUUGGGGUGAAAAUCAAAUUUAAACAUAUCAUAUACAGAUAAGCUUCAUCCCCAAAAUAAUUUUCGACCUAUUUCGACUAGGAAAAGGAGAAGGUAGAAGGAUAAAAAAUUUCCUGACCGUUAUUCAAGUUGGCCACUGCCUUGGAAUCACUGACCACCCUCCGCUUAUAUACAUCAUCAGGGAUGGAAUGAACCCUAUUGCGUAAUCUUGUUGCCGCAGAUAUAAACCAUCUUCUAGUUCUUGACCUAAGAUCCACGCAGCUAAAUACCAUCUUUUCUGUUUUUUUCUACUUUCUUCGUCGAGGAAAACAACUCAGGGUUUCAGCAAGCAAUCGUAGCUUAAAAAGUAUCCUAAAGAGUCAUGAAAGUGAAGCUAAGGAUUCGGGGAUAUCAAGAACCCGACAACCAAGUUCAAGAAACUGUUCAUCAAAGAGUCAUGGAGAAUACAUACGGACAUGGGGUUGCAUGGAGGAGAGGUCCGAUCCUAGGGAAAGGAAGUUUUGGCUCUGUAUAUCUGGCAACUGCAAAGAAUCCAUCAAUCCAUUAUAGGUGCCUUCCGUUGGUCAUGGCUGUGAAAUCAGCAGAGGUUUCGGUUUCAAGUUCGCUUCAGAAGGAGAGAGAAGUAUUAAGUUAUCUCAGUGGCUGUCCGGAUAUCAUUCAGUGCGUCGGCGAUGAAACAACAAUCGGCAGCGAUGGCAGAAUGGUUUACAACUUGCUGUCGGAGUAUGGUUCUGGUGGGACGCUUGCAGAUAGGAUCAAGAAAUCGGGCUACAGGGGAUUGCCCUUACGCGAGGUAAGAUGUUUUACUAAAUCUAUUCUUAAAGGGUUAACUUACAUUCACGAAGUUGGUUUCGUACAUUGUGAUUUGAAACCUGAAAAUAUCUUGCUUGUGCCCAAAUCAAGAAAAACAAAUACAGAAUUUAUUGCGAAAAUUUGUGAUUUCGGGCUUGCUAGAAGAGUUCAGAAGAGCAAGAAGAGGAAACUAGAGCGCUACUUUAAUGGCACUCCUAUGUAUCUGUCGCCUGAGGCCGUGAGGGAUGGUGUGCAAGGAACCCCUUGUGAUAUCUGGUCACUUGGAUGUGUUUUGCUGGAGAUGUUAACUGGAAAGCCUGCAUGGGAUGAAGGGAUGGAUGAGGAGGGUGCCUUGAACAAGAUUGGUAAAGGGACUGCAGUUCCUAAAAAACCAAGAAAUCUGUGCCAAAGUGCCAAGAGUUUUCUCAACUGUUGUCUCAAAAGAAUGGUUAAGGGUAGACUGUCGGCUAAAACAUUGUUACACCAUCCAUUCGUGAACGGAUUGAACGAUGAUGAUGAUGAUUAUGAUUAUGAUAAUGGUAAUGGAGUGCUUGAAGAAGAAGAUAUUGAUGAUAUGGAUGAAGAUUGCAGCUGUUUAUCUGCAGAGCACUGAGCAGACGUCUCCUAUCAGUUGGGAGAUAAUCCAAUGGUGAUUGAUGGGAAUAGCUAAAAGAAUUGUAUUGCACUUGAUUGCAUGAGGAACAAAGUUGGAGCGUACGGUACAGAUUCCACAUGUAGUCAAGUACUUGAAAGUUGUGUAUAGCUAAAAGAAUUGUAUUGCAGAUUAUGACAAGUUCUUUUAGGUAACAAUCGGAGUACUGUUUACAAACCGAACAUAAAGUAUAAAGAUUGUAGAUUUGGUUUGAUCAAUUGAAUCAUCAUAACCUGCACAUUAUAAACACGCAGAUGAAUGAAAUAUUGAAAGGUUUAUUUAGUUAAUUAUAUUGACUAUUGUUUAGUGCUCAAGGUUUUUCACUUGUCUUGCCUUUAAAUCACAGUUUUUGUCUUUUCGAAUGUUCAUAGUUCAUUAUACUAGUUCAUCUGGCAAUGGUUUAUGAAUGUACCCGUAGGGGCUCUCUUUCAAGAGAAGGUGCAGAGGAGGUCAAAAGUGAAAAUUUUCAUACACGUUCAUAGGAAGUUUAAUUUGUUUUAAUCUGAAAUAGCAGUUACUUACUUCAAUUUAGAUUGAAAUCAGCAAAAAAUCAAUCGCACGAUCGUGCAUUUUUAUCUUGUCUAUAAUCUCAUCCGCCAGGCAAACUCCUUACCGUCCGCCAGAUGUUGCCUAAAAAGAUUAUGCUUACCAUAGAGAGAGGGACAGAAGGAGGAAUGGUUUGAUAAAGAAAUCAUGCUUCGUAGUUUGUAGGAAACGAAGGGAUGAAACAUGAAAGAGAAACUUCGUUUGAAACGUUUGAAAAUCAGAAAACAAAAGCUCCAAAAAAAAAAAAAGUAGAAAUUUAUUCGAAAGUUGAAUGAAUCAAAAGCUAACUAAAACAAGAGGGUUUUUAAGCGUUUUGUUUUCAGCUGUUUACUAUGUUCCUAUUGGCCCAUGUUUGGUUAGUUGUAUCAUUGGAGUACAAUCUAGCAGAAAAUAUUGAUGAGGCUUUCAGAACGUUGCUCAAACGGCAGCUCUAAAUUGAUGAGGCUUUCAGGACAUUAAGUUUAUCAUCAAAAUGCACUAUAACCGAGAAAAAAAAUGAAGCAAUAUCUUUCCCAAAGUGAUGGGAUCAAGUUUGGCGACGACGGAGGAAGACAGAGUACAACAUUCCUCUUGCAAUAUUGCAUGUCAAUGAACUAGCGCUGCAUAUGCUCAAACCAAAAGUCUAAAUUUAUUUGCACUUAGAAACUGAUACGCGAUCAACAAUCUUUCAUCAAGUAGGAUGAAACAAACAAAAUAGUGGAGAUGUUUGACAACAAAAGAAUCAAACCUCUGAAAGCUACCUUCGCCAAUCAAAGUUUUCUCUAAGAUUUCAGUCAUUUCCUAAGAGAAAUUCUUUACUAUACAGUUGCAGACAAAAGGAAAGUUCCAUGAAGCAAAAAGGUCUUCAACACCGAAGUCAGUCUGCCACCACCCUGAAAUAGGAAAAGAAAGAUUAGAAUUUCAUGACAAAAGCAAGAGGAAGAAGGGAAAAGGGGAGAGUUGGUGGUCGCUAAGACCAAGGAUGUCAACAGUAACAAAGGUCCAAAAGUGAUAAGAUGGGCUUUCUGGUCUGUAAUGUAACUGUUGGGAAGAAGGUAAAGCAAAGAAAAGAAGACCUUUAGCAUCAUGAAAUUGCAGAGAGAGCUCUAUGUCAUUUCUACAAAUUUGCUAUUUUCACCUUUGGAAUCCAUCCAGAUUGUUUCAAACUUCUAUUAAGAGAUGCGCAAACACGUAAAUCAGCAAACACAUUUUGCAGCAGGAUAUAGCAGCAAUUCUUGAACUGGGACAUACUGGGUGAAGCUAAACUUCAGCUUUCCCAACUUUCUAUAAUUAUUAUAGCAACAGUGUGGACGUUAAUCCUGCCUCCGCUUGUAAAAGUAAAAUCCCAACAAAAUGACCAACUAAUGCUGGCACGAAGGUGGUUGACUAGUAAUAUCAAUGGGUCUGAAAGUAUUCAUUGCCGUUGUGAAUCUAUAGUAACUGUUUAACUUCUCUAGCUGGUAAAAAUUUUGACAGCUUCUGGAUAUGCAUAGCAUUUUGCUUUAUACAUGAGCAAGCCAAGCAUUAGCAGAUAUAAUAUUCCAGUAGCUGCAUGAGACAAGCCAAAGACAGCUCAUUUCCCCUACAAGUUCCAAUAGUGAUUGCUCUCUCAUGUAGACUUAACAGUUUCAGGUCUGUUCAAAACAAUCAUUUUUGUCCAUAAACUCUCCUUUUGUUUUCCCCCUUGAUAAUGAAGCUAAAAUAGAUAGACUAGAGCAUCUGGUGAAAGACAAUUACCUAUCUCAUUUUCUUUUCACAUACACCUCAAUGAUGUCAUUCUCCUCCAUUUCAAGCCCAGCAGGGGUGGCAGUAGGACUAAUUUUAUCUCCAUCAAAACAAAAAACUAGAUUCUGCAAAUCAAGCUUGACCUUUUCAGCAUACAUCUUGAAGAGUCUCUCAAAUUUAUCAUCCUACAAAAAUGAAGAGAUUCUUGAUUACAAAUCAUGAACAAGCAAGUUCUAUUGGAUAUCAUAGCAGAGAAUAUUUUACAGUUGUUUGCCAUCAUUGACAUUCCAAAAGAAGCCUUUUGACACCCAAGUUUGUGAAGGGCUAGACAUUCUUCCAUAUAAGUUGUACUUCUGAAAGGACCAUACUACUGCACCAAAAGAUGAAAGGAAAAAAGAAGCAGUAGACAAUCAAGCAGGACAUGAUCUUGAGGAUUGAAGAGAUUUUCCAUACUGAGUGCAAGGCCUAAGUUAGUGAUAGAUAAGGUAGAUCCCACCCAGGAUGGUUGGCCGAACUAAGAUUUAGCAGUUCUGCUAUAUUGUGAAAGAGUUUCUUGCCUGCAACAAAGAUUGAUCUACUUGAUAUUCCUAAUUGAAACUGGAGCUGUUACUGAAUUUACUUUUCAGAAAUUCUCAAGUAUAAAAGUACUUUUACCUGUUAUCCAGAGACUUAGCAAUUUCCAAAAUUCCAAUUUUUAGGAAUAAAUAACAUAGAACUGAUUUUUCUUCUUUAUACUUAUGCUCAACAGUUGAGCUCCCAAGUAGGUUAAAGUCCAGACAUACAAAAUCUUUCAGAUCUUAUCUAGUCAUAUAUCACCAUAUCUAUGUGUUACCAGGCUAAUGAAUUUCAAAAACUUGUACUGCAAAACAAUUGCAAGCGAUUGAAUACCAUGAAAACUCUAAAUUGCUUGGGUCCAUCCUUGUCCUGGAUCGUAAUUACUAUCUUUGCUCUGUCCUGGCAAGUAUCUGAUGGCUGUUCUGCAAUACCUCUUGUAGGAGAUUGUGAUGAUGCAUUAAGGUGGCUUUUCAUAGAUUCUGCAGCAGCAAACUCUUGUCUCACAGAUUCCUCAACAGCUUUCAAUGCAUCCUUUGCUGAUUGGGCUAGCGAAGCCAAUUCCUGCCUUUUCAGCCUACAAGUAAAAAAAUCACAUACUAUUAGAAACCCAAAGACAGCAAAAUAACAGGAUAACUUAAUUGUUGAACACAAUUGGAGAUUUUCCUUCUGUUAGUCCACUACAUUUGAUAUCUUCCUCUGCUUCAGCUUUGACAUUCAAAAUAACCAUACAAUCUCAUUUUCUGAUUAGCAAAUAAAUUACUAAACAACAUUAAUAGGCAGCCAUCACGACUACUGAAGGAUAAAUUCAUUACCUACCAAAUUUAAAAGUAAGAACUACUUAUAGCAAGACCAUGGCUCCCUAACCAGAAAUAUUCUGAUAAGCAAAAACCUGAACUUUUCAUGACAAUUAAAUUAAAGCAUUCUUUAAGAGAAACCUCCAAAGCUUUCACGAGAAUUGACAAACAUUGAAAUUACACAGGCUAAACAAGAAAUAUAUCAAGAAAAGAAUACAAGAGCACAAGAAGAUAGAAAACUACCUCAGCUCCUUUAUGGUAGAAUCUUCAUUAAGCUUUGAUGUAUCAUUGGUCAUUUUAGGUGGAGGAGGCAACCAGUCUUCUUCUUCUUCUUCUUCUUCCUCUUCAUUUUCAUCACAAUCAAUUACUUGAACCACUUUCCCCUUAUUAUCAUUCUCUUCAACCUAUCCAAUUCAAAAUUACCAUAAAAAACCCACCUCAGAGUAUAUUUAAUUCAAUCAAUAAUUCACGAGUACAGAAAGAACCAAUCUUGAACACCUAAAGUUCGAUAAAAGACUAGAAACUUACAGCAGAAUCAGCUGUUUUUCGCUUUUUCUUACAACCCACUGGGGGAGCGUCCAAAGGAUCAUCUAUUAAUUCAGAAUGAAAGUAAUAAAACAAAAUCAGUCAACAAAGAAUAACAGCCCAAAAAAUAAAAGAGAGACCGAGAAAAAGAGCAUACCAUCAACAAUGACGACGUUGAAGGGCUGAACGCGCCUAUAAUCGAAAAGGGGUUCUAGUUCUUCCAUAGAAUCAGCCUAAAAACAUCAAAAAAUGAAAAUUAAAAGGUCGAAUUCAAAAACCCACAACUUAUAUGUUGGAUAAAAUGGGGGGAAUUGAUUUUAUUCUCACCAUCGAUGGAAUUUGAAUCGGAUUGCCUAUUUAUCCUGUCUACUUUUUCGGCGCUUUUCGUUUUCUCGUUCAAAUUCGUAUUACAAAAAAGGAAAAAAUCAUGACCGGUGCGCGGAUUUGGGCCAGGGUAAUGGCCUCCAGGAUUUCUACAUUAUUCAAUUUUACAACCCUCUCCUUUCUCAUAAUUACUCUGCUUCCUCUAGAGUUAGAAUGACUGUACUAGGAAGCCUCCCUUCUUAUGAAUUUGGUCUAUUAAGGGUACUUUUCAGACACCUUAUAUUCGAUGGAAACCUAAUAGAGUCAAUAGGAUAGUAAAAUGAAGAUAGGUAAGGGGAAAUGGAUUAUUGUGCUAAUUAGCAAGAGAGAAAAUAUAAAAGUUUUUUAACUUCUUGAAAGUUUAAAAAGCAUUUUAGUGGUAUACCAAACUAUUAAAAGCACUUUCUUUGCGUUGGCAGAAUUGAAGAGUUUUAAUGAGCAUAUUGCUUAUUUCAAUUUUUGAAUUAGAAUGUAUUUGAGAAAGAUUGAAAAGUAUUAUUACAAGAUAUAUAGUUGGAGGAUGGUCGUUAUUUGGUAUAAAUAUGUAGAAAAUAUUUAUCAUGGCAUAUGUCCCUUUCUUUGUACAAACUAACUAUAAUAAUCGUGACCAAAUUGGAUGCGCUUGAGAUGAAGCAUUCGUACGUGAUCCUAACCAAAUUGGAUCCGUUCGAGAUGAAGCGUGCUAAUUUGUCUAAAAACUCAAGAGGUGUUUGGUUGAUCAAAAUAUUUGCUCAAGGAAUGGUUUCAAAUUCAAUCACGUCAAUACAUGGUGUGUGUUUGACGUGAGUCGGAUGAGUUAACAGGAAUGAUAAGUCUCUUCUAUGGGUUUACUGAUUAACUGCACUUAGAAAGUCAUCUUAAGUUAUUCAGUUUAAUCUAAAAAUGAGAAGGAAAAAAUGCAUGACACCAUCUUAGUAUUAAAAAAAAAACUUCUCUACUUUAUUACUAUUGCUCUUUCGUUGACUCACCACUCCUCUCGGGCGCUCUUUUGCCACUCUCCUCUUUUUUCUUCUUUCUUUUAUCGAUUUGAUCUUUCGCCUCAUCCUUUAUAAAUAGAAUUCUUUAUAGACGUAUCUGUGUAUCUCGGUAUUAAAAAUUAAUUUUUGUGAUGGGAUAGCAUAGUGAUAGUUUUGGCAUGACAAAAAUAAAAGGGCCACAGCUAAGAUGGGAUAAUUCCUCAAAGAAAUAUGUUCAUAAGUAAAUAAGAUGAUAAGAGAACAUUUUCAUGCAUUUGUUGAAAUUAUUGUAUCGAGAAUUGACAAAUUGUAUCUGAUUUCGAUUGAAACUAGGGUUUUUUAGAUUUGGGGAUUGUAUUGUAUUUAAGGAAAUAUUAUAAUGUUUUGGUAAUCAGUAGCUGCCGGUGUUUGCCAUUAGUGGUGGAGGAUACGUGGCUUAGGAACGAGAGAGACAGAAGGUGAGUGAGUGCGAGAGAGAGAGAGAAAGCAAAAAGAAAAUACAUAACACUAUAACUAUUCCUACUACUAACACAAUAUUUGGUUUUCAUCAAAAUCCAUUCCCAUUAACUAGUUUAUUACACUGAUGGUAAUAAUAAUAAUAAUGAUUAUGAAAUUCAUACCAAACAGCAAUUCAAUAACUAUGGCAAGACUUUGGAAUGCGUCGUAAUUUGAAAUGUGAAGUACAAAUAUGAAAAGGUUCUGAAGGAAAAAAGAAAAUGAAUAAAAAUGGAAAACUAAGAGAAUUGAGACGGGCUUUAAUGAUAUUUUUGGACUUCAAUCUUGAUUUGGGAUUACAAUCUAAUUACUUUCGUGAGUUGAGUCCAAUAGUUAAUAUAUCAAAUUGAGAUAACAAAAUAGGAUAAUUUUUUAUAUAUUGUCAAUGUAUGAUUUUUUUUUUCCACUAGUAGAUUUAGAUCAUGUUAUAAAAUAUGAAUUCAAACUUUAAAUUCAAAUCAUGUACAUAUGACAUAUAUCCAACUGUUAGUGUAAAGAAAAAUUACUACACUAUCAGCGCAUAAUAUGACUGAAAACGAGUUGAGUCGAAUCGAAUUUUGAUCUAAUCGAAUCGAGUCUCGAUUUAGUUUUAUCAAACUCAAACUCCAACUCGAGCUUGACAAGCUCUUGAUGUAGCAGCUCGAGUUCAAAUUCGAGUUGAGUUCAGGCUCAAGCUCGAGGUUAAAAAAUAUAAAAAAUAAUUAUUUUAUUUUUUAAAAUGAAUAAACUAAUAUUUUUUCUUAACAAAUAAUAUAUAUAUUAGGGAUAUAUAUAUAUAUGCUUACUAUUAAAAUAAGUAUAUAUAUAUAUAUAAUCGAGUCGACUCGCGAAUUAACGAGUUAAAUAUUUUUGAACUCGAACUCAAGUCCAGCUUUGAUUCAAGCCGCUCGCGAGUAGCUGGAUUCAUUUGCAGCCAUAGUGCAUAAAAGGUUAAUCCAAUGAAGUAACGGAAGAGUUUUGAUUAGUGCUUGUCAGGUUGUGCUAUGUGCAAUGUGAUAUCAUUCCUUAUUCUACAAUUAAAGUUUACCAUACUAACAUGGUAACUUAAUCAUCUAAACUGGUCCACAAAAUUUUUUUUCGGUUUACCAUAUUUGCAUGUCGUUCUUGUAUUCAACAUGGUAACUUAAUCAUCUAAAUUGGUCCACAAAAUUAUUAUCCAGGGCCACAUUACCAUAAAAAGGUACAAUUAAAAAUAUGCGGUCUAAUUAGAGUAAUAAAACAUUCAAACACAAUGGAGAUGCAAAAUGCCUAAAAAAUACGGUUCAAUUAAAUAUUUAUGAGAUGAAAUUUUUGAAGUGGCACUACUAUUCCCAUUUUGUGACCAUGAUUAAAACUUUUACUUAGACUUUAAUUGAUUUAGGUGUUCUAUCACAAAAACUAAAAAAAAUUACAAAAAUAGCAAGUAUAACUCAAAACAAGUGAAAACUAUAGCUACAAUUUUUUUCUUUAUUGGUAAAAUAAAUAGGCAUUGUAACAUUAUAAGUUUAUAACCAUAAAAAUAAUUUUGAUUUCACCAAAUUUAUUAAAAAAAAGUGCUUAUAUAUACUUACAAAUACACACACACGCACACACGCAUAUAUAUAAGGUGAUAUUUUUAUCUAUUUGAAAAAUUAUUAUAGAAACUAAGAUCUAUUUGUUCCAAAAACAUCCAUCUUUAAAGAUGGAAAACCUCUACUAUUAUAUUGGCUUUAUGAAAACCCUCUAAGAAUUAGGGUUAUAAUACGUCUCAAAUUCAAGAGAAUGUUGGAAAAAUUCUUAAUGACAUGUCUAUAUUCUCAAUUUGCUUUUCAUAAAUGGAAAACCCAAAGAAAGCUUGCUAGCAUUGUCGAAAAUGGUGUAUCUUUUUGGUCCAAAAAUCUGUAAUUUUAUAUAGAGAAAAUCUCUUAAAUCAUUUUUUCUUGACAAGACCUUCCAACAGUUAGGGUUACAAGGCAUCUCAAGUUAAAAAAUAUUCUACAACAAUAAUUAAUGAUGUUUUGAUAUUCUCAAUAUGCUUUUAGUAAAUGAAAAGUCUUUCUUACUUUUCAAACUAGCUAGAGAAAGCUUAACAAUUCCAUUUUUUUUAGCGGAGAAAAUGUGAGAUUUAAGAGACUGGGAGGGAGAGAGAAAUUGGAAUCUAUGACCUUUAAAUUUUAAAACCUUAACCUUUAUCACUAGACCAGAGUCCUCUUGACUUAGCAGUUCCAGUUCUUCAUUUGAUAAACCAAUUAUUUCAACAUGGGAGAAUAAAUAAGGGAGACGAACUAAAGUUCACUUUUAUAAAUAUUAUAAUAGCAAAAUCCAUAUUUGAUUGCCGAUUUUUAAGAGAGAUAUCAAAAUGAAUUAGAGUACUAGUUAUUUCGAAAGAACAAUUAAAAAAUAAUAUCAAGAAACAAAGUUUUUUUUUAUAUAAAAUCAUUUAUCGCAACUAGAAAAAAGUAUAUGUAUAUUGCAUUUCAUAUUUCAUGCAUUGUCUGCAUAGGGUAUGAAUUAUUUUAGCCUUUUGUGAAAACAUGAAAGAAAUGAACAAGUAACCGAUAACAAACGAUUAAGUUCUGACACACAAGACAGUAUGAACCUACGCCUUGAUGUUAUAUUCUUCGAGAGUUUUAACUAUUUUGAUUAAUUACUUAAUGUGUAGUGAUGUUUCAUGAUGUAGCAACAAUCUAGCUAUGAAAAAGAAUAAUAACCAUGCAGCAAUAAGGAUUUUUUUUCUCUAAACAAAAAAAUUAUGUUUCUUUAUAUUAUAAGACAUCUUUCAACAUGCCAUGAAGGCUGAAAAAUAGGCUAUUGUUGAUGUGAAGAAAGAUUUAUAAGUAAUUUAACUUUCGACAGAAAAUAUGGAUAUCCAUGAUGCUGUAUUUUCUUGCUAUGAUUAUUUCACUUCGUAAUUUUGGAAAUGAUAUUGAAAGAAACACAACUUCCUGUGUUACUUAUCUAUAAUCUCUUUCUAAAUCAAAUUAAAGGAUAUAUAUAUAUGCACUACAAAUCAUGUUCAAGAAGUUCAUGUCAUGUACAAUAGUCAGUAAAACUUGUACUAGACGAACAUGUACAACAACAUUUUUGAAUACACCAAGGGGUAUAUGAAAACGUGAAAAGGUCAAAAAAAAAUAGCGGGUAGUCCAAUUGGUUAAAAUACAUUACAAAAAUAAUCAAAUACAUUCCCUUCCUUUGGGCAAUUUGUAAAUUUUCGAAGAAAUAAUGAAGAGAAAAGUAAAUUGCAGACUAUAAUUUCAUAUACGAACAUCAUACACAUGUGUAUGAUAGCUAAUGAAUUCCACUUUCUCUUUUCUUAUUUGGACCUUCCUUCAUCAUAAUUGUAUGGGGCCACAGUAGUAAAUCUCCUAUCUGGCUGCUGGAGAAAUACCUACAAGAUCACAUUUAUCUAAAAGAUUUUGAGUUUUGUACAUUUUGGUCUAUUCUCUUUUUUUUUUUUUUAGCUUCAAUUGUAUGCACAUUUUGAGGUCUUGGGUGCUUGGUCUAGGCCCUGGACGUUUGUAUAUCAUUGCCCUUAAGAGUAUAUCAGCAUAGGAAUGCUCAAGUAUAUAAUCCCAUUCAUCUUUAAUCUUUUAACUCUAUCCAUCUCAUUUUUGUAAUCUCAACCAACUUCUUCUUUCUUUUCUGUUUCUUAUUAAAGUCCAUUUUCAGAGUUAUAAAAUUGUUUUCGUUCCAUUUCCUGAGCUGUUGGCUUCUUCUGAAAAAAAAAGAAUGGAUGUUAGUAGUCUUGGAGGUGGUCUCAUUCCAAAGGCAGCUAAGGGUCUUCAAAUUUUGUUGGUUGAUGAUGAUACAGAUUGUCUCACAAACAUGUCAUCUGUGCUUCGAGAACACUCCUACGAAGGUCAAUCCUUAUGAGAUUUCUCUAUAUUUGUAGCCCCUCUUUUUUUUUACCCCAUUUAAUUGUUUGCAUAUCUUUGAUAAUUCUCCUCUGAACUUAGUCUAUCUACCACAGGCCUCAACAAAUUUAUAGAAAAAGAACUUGAUUGUUUUGUGGGUUUUUGUAUUCUUUUUGCUUGUUUAUUGGUGGUACAUUUUUUUUUUUCGAUCUUCUUUAAUGCUAGUCUUCAAAUGAAAUAGGAUUUUGUGUGGAGUAGUUGCUAUCGAACAAGGGCCGAGGGGAUUGAUGCUGGUUUCCUAGAUUUUUCAUUGAUUUUUUUGCACUACUAGAAAUGGUAUAUGAAGAUGAUUUUAAUUAUGUUACUUAAAAAAAUCAUACAAGUUUUAUUCCUUUAGAUGAAGCCUUUGAUCUCUUAAAUUUGGAACUUUAAAAUUCCAAUGCCAAAUAAAGAGUAAAAACUUCAGUACAUUUAUUCUGCAGGUUUAACUUUAGAAAUAUCGAGUGCUAGUUCAAUUUUAGAAAAUCAAAUUUGUUUAAAUAAAUUGAUCAACAUUUAUUUAUAAGAACUAGUUUUGAGAUGAGUUUAUCUUUAUGAAGCUUCUGCUAAAAAAUUUAAGUAUGAAAAAAAAAAUGAAAAUAAUUCGAUUAUGGACUGCAUAUCUUGGUUUAGAAAAUAGCUCUCAUAGGAAAACUUAAGGCUUCUCUUUAGACGUAGUCCUAUACAAAUCUCUAAGAUUGCAUUUCCAAAACUGCUUCUUUUUUUCAAAAAAAAAAAAAUCUAGAAACAGACUGCCAGUCUUUUCAAACUUUUUUCUUUUGGACAAUUGUCUCCACUGUGUCCAAAUUGAUCCAAUAUUUUUUAUAAAUAUUCAUCAUUACAGUAAUUAAUUCACUAAUUCUAAUUUGACUUUGCUUCUUUCUUAGUGAGAUAGACCUGAGUGUCUACUGUUAUCCCCACUACUGUAACAAAAAAAUUACUAUUCAUUACGUCAAUUGAUCUAAUAUUUUCAUGCAAAUUUAAUUUUUCUAGUUCUUUUAUGACUUGAAUUUUGACUAACCUUGUUCAUUAUUUUACCUUACUAGUUACCACCACGAAAUGGGCAAUAAUUGCACUAUCCUUAAUCCGGCAAAGAAGAUCCUUCUUUGAUCUUGUGAUUACUGAAAUGGACAUGCCUGGGUUCGGUGGCUUCACAAUGCUCAAUCAAAUUUUGCUUAUCAAGAAAGACAUUCCCGUCAUUUGUAAGUUUGAGCACUCAAUACCUCUGGUUUCAAAUCUAUACAUGCAUUGAUGUAACAAUUUUUUUUUUGUUUUUGGGGGGGUCUAGUGAUGUCUUCAAAUAGAGAUGCAGACAUGGCCAAGAAAGCCCUUGAUGAAGGGGCAUGUUUUUUCUUCUUUAAGCCACUGCACACUCCAGAUUUGAUCACAGUUUGGCAGCAUGUGUUUCGCAAGAGAGGCAACAGAAAAGGGCUCUUGAAGGAGGUUGAGGAUAAUGGAGAUCGAACAGUUCAAACCGAGAGACCUAAUGGUGUUAAUGAAGAAAAUGUUGCAGACCAACCCUUAAUCCGUGACCCAAGGAAAGGCAAGGCUCCUUGUUCAGAUGAUGGUCAUGGAAGCAAAAGGCCAAAGAAUGUGGGCGAUGAUGCAAGGCAGGCUAACAAGGAUAAACUGAUAAUAGGUGGUAAUGAUAAACAAGGCAGAGAUAAAGAUGCUGGCAAAAGAAAGAAAAUGGAGAAAAGAAAGAAAAGAAAGUAUCGUAAGAAGAGUAGCAGGUCUGCAGAGAAAAAGCCACGCCUGGUUUGGACGCCCGAGCUGCAUGAAAUUUUUUUGAAUGCAAUUGCUGCAUUGGGUGAACGCGGUAAUAAUUCUCUCCCAAACUUCUCAUUCAAUUGCUAUCAGCAUCAUGUUCUUUUACCCUUAUAUUACCUGCAUUCAUACGCCAAAAUAUUAGAUAGUUGCUCGAUCUCAUGCAUUCAUGAACAUGAACAUAGUUAUUGAAAAAUUCAAAGCAUAUGAAUUCACAUGCUUAUGAAUUUUUAGACAAUUACAUGGACUUUCUCUUUUGAAUUUAGAACAUUUGCGAUUAUUCUUUUUUUGUUUACCUUUCCUAAUUCAGAUGCUCAUCCGACGGCAAUACAGAAGGAGAUGGACAUUCCAGAAUUGUCACAUCGCCACAUUGCCAGUCAUUUACAGGUAAAAUGAUCUUUGGUCAGCUAGUGAAAGUGCUAGCAUUUUUGCUUGACUCAGUUAUUGUUUCCUUUUUUUUUUUUUAAUUAAGUGUUGCUGAAAAUGCUAGAAAAGAAUUUUUUUUUUUUUUUUUUUUGGUUUUUGGCUUAAUUACCAUUAGAUUGGUUGAUAUCAUCAUCGAUUCAUUACCAUUCAUGCAAUCGUCUUAGAGGCUGUCUAAAUUUGUUAGGAAUGUAAGAGUCUUGCCCACUUUAACUUGCUAGCUAGCUAUUCUUGCUGUUCAUAAUUCUGAAGUUUCGCAUUUAUUAUUUCUUGGUUUUGAAUUUCUAUAUAGUAAUCCUUUCACCCAUAUCGUUCACUUUUAUAAUUUUAUUCUACUAUUUUCUCUUUUUUUUUUCUCUUUUUUUGUCCAGAAACACAGGAAGCAUAUAAAUAAAGCAAGAGAAUUAUUGGUUAGAAAUCCACAUAUUUUUGAACCCAACGUGACUAGAUAUCCAUCCCUGAGUGAGAGAAAAAAACCAUCUUUCUUUGAAUCCAAUAUGACUAGAUAUCUAACCCCUCAACCUACAACCACGAGGACGAGAAAAAUACCUAGUAUUUUCGACACCCUGAUGGCAACAAAUCCAACUGAACAUAUUCGAAGCCCCUAUAGUCCUAGUUUUGCUCCUCCUCAAUUUACACACCCAAAAGCUUACCUUAAUGAGGGCACAGCUUAUAACCAAAGGGACGCACUCAAUCAGAUCCUUGCUAAUCCCAGCAACAACCCGCCAAUGACCAGCAAUCAUCAAAAUUCAUAUGCAAAUUUUGGAAAUCAAGAAUCUUCCCAAUUGAACCAUGUUCAGUACUCAGCUGAUCAGGGCAAAGGAAAACAAGUUUUGUCUUCCUUUGGAGGAUAUAAUGACAAUCAUGUUGCUCCAGCUGAUGAUUUAUGCAAGACCAAAGUGGAUGCUCUGAUUGAAGCAAUUAAAAAGGAAUUGGCAGAUGCUCUUGGAGCUGAUGCUAAGUUGCGUCAAGAUAUGAAGUUCUUGGCCAGGUACAAUAAUGUUGUUCCUCAACGAAGCUCACUCCAAACACCAUCCGAGGUGUUUUCUGCUGCUUGUAAAGACUUAUUGGCACCAGCAGAGACAGAUUUCGACAUUGGGGAACAGAUGACUUACACUUAUAAAGAUCUUGCAAUGAUUUUGAAUGACUUGAAUGCUGGUACUGAAGGCAUUUCAGGAUCAAGCUCAGACCAAGAACCGCCCAUGGAGUUUUCUACAGCUUGUGAAGCCUUGGCACCAGCAGAGACAGAUUUCGACAUUGGGGAACAGAUGACUUACCGUUAUGAAGAUGUUGCAAUGAUUUUGGAUGACUCGAGUGUUGGUAAUGGAGACAAAACAGGAUCAAGCUCAGAGUCCCCAGACCCGCCAUUGCCAGACAAUGUUGCUGAUGACGAUCAUGAUUUCACUGAACGGCUCAACAUAGAAGAUUUUUCUGAGCUUUUUGAAAUCUUUCCAGACAUUCAAGAUGGAGCUCCUUAGUUGGGCUUGCUUCUGAAUUAAUUAAACGAGAAGAAUAGCUGGCUGUCUUUUAGUUUGUUUUUAAGACUUUAGAAGAAGUCUAAGUUCUAAACAUUGAGCAAAAUAUAGAAAUGGACCUUGAUCCAACGGAGAGUUGCAUUGAAAUAUGGUCUGUAAUGAUUUAUAGGAAAGAUGCAUCUUUUGUUCGACAAGUCUGUGUAAAUGACGCAGAACACCUUCUCAAAAACAAUAUCUAAAAGGUGAAAAAAAUUAGAUACUACUGGUACACCGUUCGUGUGUAUUUUUGGUUUGAUCUACCAGACCAACAACAAAAACAUUGGAAUGAAAUUGAUGAUAACAACAGUCAUUGCAACGGUUUUCACGAUUUUGAGCGCUAGUCAUACGUCUGAAAAUGUUAACAAGAAAACGAUACAUGGCGAAGCUUAUUGCUUGGAUCUUUGUUCGUUUAAGAUGAGAUGUGCUCAAUGCCCAAAAUGAGAAAAUUCUACGACACCUUAGAUUACAAUUUAAUGAUACCAAUCUUGGUCGAAGUAAGAAUAAAGUUGCAAUAAUCAAGAAAAGGAACUUCCUAUAUGAUAUUAUACCUUUCAUGUACAGGAACUAGUUAUACAUCCAUGGCCUAUUUUAGUCGUCUAUAUUGGUUAUAGGACCUUUAAACCAAUACCUAGCACUAAAGACCCAAGCAGUGACAGUAAGAAUAACUAGGCCACCAACAGCAACUGGCGUAUAGUUGAGAGUUUGAUCGGUAACGGGAUAGGCAACGGGCAAGGAGAACAGCACAGAGAUGGUUGCCACCCACAGCACAGCAAUCCAACCAACAAGGACCCCAAAACUUCCCAAAUUGAAAGGCCCUGGGGUGAAAGAUUUUCGUGCCAAAGUCACCCUAAAGAAGAUAGGUAGGGCAUAGGCAAUGUACAGUCCAAUAGUUGCUAUGGAUACCAUGGCCUGAAAUGCGACCAAGCUCCCAAGAGACUGCCACAAAAAAAAAAAUAAAAAAUGCAGAGCGUGCGAUAUUCAGUUAAAGGAGUGAUGAAUAAAAACGAACAGUGGGUGCUCAUCCUAAUUGGUAAUAGCUCAAGCAAAUCCGCAUAUGCAAGUAAACUCACGCUGCAUUUUAAAGGUUCUUAAAAUUCAAUAGAAAGAGAAUUUGCAUUUCAUUUUAAAGAUUCUUAAAAUCUGACGUGCUCUCAAAGUCUUGUGGUUCCCCUGGCCUACAGGAAAAUGCAGAAAAGAGAGGUUCAUACCGUAAGUGCCAUGCAGAAUGCAAUAAAAGCUGAAAGCCAAACUGCAUUUAUGGGAACAUCUUGCUUGUUUACUUUGUGCCACAAGGAUGACAAAGGCAUAGCUCCAUCCCUUGAGAAUGCAUAGGCCAUCCUGAGAAUGUAUAUCAAUUUGACCGUCAAUGGAAAUCUUGCUACACAUGAAGAAACCAGCAGAAAAAAUUAAAAAGAAUGGUUACCUUGAAUUGCUAGUUAUUGAGCUCAUGCCGCAGAAAAAUAUGGCAACAGCAACAAUACACAAGCACACAAUUCCACCAGCUCCACUCCCAUAUCUACUUUUGAACACUUGGUAGAAAAUUUCAGCGAUGGCAUAACCACCAGCAUCAUUGUCCUUGCUCAAAAGAUUUGGGAUGUUCGUAACUGAAAAUGUGAUACCAAGUAUAUAACCCCAUCCAACAAUUAUAGAUAUCCCGAUGGAACUAAUUAUUCCCUUAGGGCCAUUCUUAUCUGCACUCUUGGUUUCCUCUGACUAGCAGCAGAAGUAAUAAUGUAAGAGAAAUUAUCCAACAAAAUUUGUUUGGUUAAGAAUAAGAUAAAUGACUUAAAAACUGGAGAACAAGCUCUCAAAAUGUGAGAUCUGAAUUUCUUGCAGAGCACAUAGCAGAUAAGCUAGAUGCCUAGAUGAUUAAGCGAAAAUGAAACCAAAUAUCUGGUAAUCAGUUUUGUAAUCUGAAGUACCUUUUAGCCGCUGGUUGCUCAAUUGUUCCAUUCUGAUAUGAAUGUUGUUCUUACAUCAGAUAGUGCUAGUAUAUGAGCAUGACAGUACUUAAUCCUUGAGAUUCUUUAUCUCAUAGAUUUUAUUUAAGAAUGUGAUAGCAUAAUCAAACUCCAGAAAGGAUAAGGGCAAUACAUAGAGAUAGAUGUAAUUUCUAUUGUAUUUGCGUCAUCAAAGUCCCAACACAAAAAAUGAAUAAGCGCAAUAAAUUAGAGAUGAAACUUACCAUGUGGGCAGAUGCAUCAUAUCCAGUCAGCGUAUACUGGCUCAUAAGAAGCCCGAGUAUAAAUAUGUACAAUUUACUGUUGACGCCAGCCCCAUUUUCAGUGUUGAAAUGAGUAAACACAAACUUAGCACUGGCUCUUUCAGUUGCAACUGUAGGAAUCACAAUCAUGAGUAUAAAGACUCCUGAAACCAAAAGAGUAUCUUGUAAGACAAUCAGGUGAGAAGCCAAAAGAGUAUCUUGUAAGACAAUCGGGUGAGAAUUGAAACCGACUUAUAGAACAGUUUUGUCGUCAGUCUACCUAGUACAUUCCAUGCAGCAGCAAGCUGUCCAAAGAAUGAUAACCACGAGAUAGGAAGACUGUUUAAGACAGCAUGUGAGAGCAAAAUUGCAGCAUGGAUGGCAAUAACUACAUACUUAGAGGCCUCAUAUCCACCUCCAGAGGUUCCACCAGUACUCAGAAGGAUGAUCACCCGAAUCAGCUGUGCAAGUGAAAAAUCCACGCUUGUUGUAACUGCCCACUGCAAAGAGAAAUUUCUUUACCAGUUAAACAUAAUUGUGGUGUCACCAAGCAUGAAGAGGAUUGACAGAAAUAGAGUGAAGAAUCUUGAACUGCAGACUAAAAGUUUAAAUACCUGACCAACAAUGUUGAACCUGUAAAGCCAAAACAAGAAAAACAAAAAAUAAGUACUCAGCCUCUACCAAUGGAUUUAUAGCAAGACAUAGCUGGCGAUAGUUUAUCAAACAGAUUGCUACCUAUAGAAACCAAACUCUACAUGGUAAGAGGGUGAUCCAGAUGAAGAUGGUCCAUUAUGCCACUACCCAAGAACUCAGAGAAAAUGGAGUACAAGAACUUCGUCUUGAUUCAUUCGAGCAAAAACUAAAUGACCAAUAUAAUAGGCUUCUCAGAACUACAUAAGUUAACUACACAUCACCAGAAUCUCAUCCAUUUAUGGCAAAACACCAAACUUCCACAAAAGUCAGUAAUUCAUGAAAUUUCUUAUAAUAGUACUUUUUGCAAAGGUAGGACAGCAUCAUGUAUUUAAGUAAAAUUUACUUCAGUUACAGAAGAAAUGAAGACCAAUAAUUGAACUAAAGCAAAAGGUGAGCUUAAAUGAGAAAAACAAGCUCAUUCAGGCUUUCAGCUGAAAGCAAAACUAAUCAGAAUACGAAGCCGAAACACUUAUAGAACUAACACCUUACAUGGGAACAAUGUCUAGGUCCAAAUUUGUUGGUUUUUUGGGGCAUGAACUAAGAAACAACACCUUAGUGUUGCAAAAAAAGCUUAUAAGAGACUUGUAUUGAAGGUGGAAAAUGAGCAUCUUGUUCUACAUUCAUCAACUCACUAUUUAUAGUGAUUACAUGAAACAAACUAGCAAAAUAUCCCACUAACAAUUAUCCUAGAAAUCUCAACAAAAUAUAAUCUCCUUCUACUAGCAAAUCUUAUCAAAAAUAUCUGUUAACAAACCAACAUGAUCUUUUGUUAAUAAAUAUCCUUAUUUUUCUAAUAACUAAACUAUUUUGAUAUUAAACAUAAUCUAGCAAAAUAUGUAGAAAAAGUUGCAUAUCCCAACACUCCUCAUUGCCACUUUUGCUGCAGAUUUUGAAUUGUCUUCUCAAAUCUUUGAAUCUUGUUUUGGAUGAGACUUUUGUAAGAAGCUCUGCAAUUGAUGAUUAGCUUUGCAAUGAACUUCUUCUUUUGUCUUCUCAUGCCAAACUCCACAUAAAAGAUGAUUUUUUUUUAAUGUUUCCAAAUAACCUUCUCAUAGGUUUAAAGUGGAACAUCCUUUGACGACAUUUGAACCUAUACAGAAAAUAUGAAAUUCUGCAUGGUUCUUCAUUUUGCCAUCACCAUCAAAAUCUGUAGACCAAAAACAGAAAUGUUAUAAUCUUGAUAAAUAUCAGGAAUCAAUCUGAUAUCUCCUGACUUAUCAAUGAUCUCCUCCUGAAUUUUUCAGGAUCUGAAUUCUUGAUUUCAUCAUCAUGUUCCACUUUAGAAUUGUCAAAAUCUGACCAAUUCAUAGUGAAACUUCUCCUUUCUAUUUUAAUUGAGAAUAAUUUAUUCUCAAUCAAAUCAUCAGCCAUUAUCUUUGUGAAAACGGCAUCAAAAACUGAUAUGUGAAUGCUGGCCUUGGAUCUCUGUAUAACUGCAACUCUGUGGUCUCUAAUUUGUGUAUUCAUCAGCUCUUCAAAUACUGAUGAAACAAAAAUCGUCUCUACCAUAUCUCGUAGAUCAUUGACUACCAAAUAAGUCCAAAAUUUUAUGGCCCAAAUUUGGUAAAUUUCACCCCUAAAAGUUGAAACAUUUGACAAAAAGUUCUUUCCUGUCAUGGCUUGAACUUAUAAUGGAUCCUCACCAAUGCAUCACUCUCAAAAAAAACUCAGGCCCUUAAGAUAUAGGCUCUUGAUACCACUUUGUUGGUUUUUUGGGGCAUGAACUAAGAAACAACACCUUAGUGUUGCAAAAAAAGCUUAUAAGAGACUUGUAUUGAAGGUGGAAAAUGAGCAUCUUGUUCUACAUUCAUCAACUCACUAUUUAUAGUGAUUACAUGAAACAAACUAGCAAAAUAUCCCACUAACAAUUAUCCUAGAAAUCUCAACAAAAUAUAAUCUCCUUCUACUAGCAAAUCUUAUCAAAAAUAUCUGUUAACAAACCAACAUGAUCUUUUGUUAACAAAUAUCCUUAUUUUUCUAAUAACUAAACUAUUUUGAUAUUAAACAUAAUCUAGCAAAAUAUGUAGAAAAAGUUGCAUAUCCCAACAAUUUCAUCUGUUCCUAAAAUUGCUAAUCUUAUGGAAGAUAAAUUCUAACGUCUAACUUUCAAAGAACAAUACAAGACCAACGAAACAUAGGCAACUAAUUGGCGCUGACCUCAAAAAAAUUUAAAAAAAAUACCAACUGUUAUAAAUAGGUUGGGCUCCCUGAAUUGCAAAUUGAAAUAAAUGACAGCCACUAGUAGACCCCUAGCAAUUGAAACAGAGAAGAAUACCCUCAAUUAAAUGUCAUUAAUUAUUCAAACAAGCAAGAUUUUCAAUUACCAGCCAGUGAUCCAGGAUGCAAAGGGUGCCCAACUAGGGCCAGCAAGCUUAGCACUCCAAUAAUAGAGUCCUCCAGAAGUAGGAUAAGAAGAACAUAUCUCAGCCAUGGAUAAUCCCACAACCAUAGUAAAACAACCAGCAAUUAUCCAUCCAUACACCAAAGAAACAGGCCCACCAAAAUUCAACCCCGUAUUAUACAGUGUAGUCACACCAGUCAACACUGAUAUAAUUGAAAAUGAAAAUGCAAAAUUCGAAAAAACCCUGCACCAAAAAAUCCCAAAAAAAAAAAAACACAAGAACCAAAACAAAAAAUAUCAAAUACCCACAUCAGAAAUCAGAUAAAAAACAAUAUUCCGAAUGAGUUAUGGAUUGAAUAAUUACGAGAGGUCUCGCUUGAGUUCUUGCUUGUAUCCUAGCUCAUGCAAGCGUUCAUGGCCUGAAUCAAUGGAUGAUGUGCCAUUGCUUUGUUGAACACGUUGUGGAAGCACUUCGCUCUUCUCUUCACGAUUCCACGCCAUUUUUUUGAAAUUCAAGUGAUCAAAGAGAGAGAUGAGGGAGGUGUGUACUCUUAUUCAAGAUAUGAAACCUUGAAUUGUGGUUUAGUUAUCAAUACACACCCUUUUAUCUCUCUCUUUCUGUCUGAGUAGCUGAGAGUUUUCUUGAGAACUUCCAGCUACUGUUUGUUCAUGGAAAUGAUGAUGGAUUUAAUAUAGAUUCCGUGAGAGGAAUAUUACCGUGCUUUUUCCUCUGCGGACACGUUUCGGAAUCUUUAAUGAGUCUGUUGGGGGUAAUUAUUUUGGUGGAGGAAGCAAAUGUGAUGGUCAACCAAAGCUGUGGGAAAGUCAAAGAGAGAACUGUGGUUAGGUGGGUUGCCUUUUCUUUAUUAAUUUAUUUUCUUGAUUUUGUGAUAUUUUUUUUUCAGAUUUAUGGGAAAGAGAAAUAAAGGAAUCUCUUAUUGAGAUGGGCACUUUAAAAAAUUGGCUUUUGCUCAGCCUACCAAAGAUUACGUAAUCGUACCAUCUCUUAGGCCAUCCUAAGGACAAUUGAUCGAUUUGUACAUUGCAAUUUGAUAGUGACUAAUUUGGGGGUGCGGUCCCGGGAUGCGAAGGAGGGCCGGGGGGGGGGGGGGGGGGAAGGGAUAUGUAAGGACAAUAGAUAUUUUAUUGGGUUACAGCAAAUUUAAUUUUAUUUAUAAAAAUUUUAUUCAUAUCAUAUAAAAAAGUGAUUAAAAAUAUAUUUACGAAGAACGUAAUAAUUUUUUUUGUCCAAAAAAACUACAAUUGAAGUUAGUUAUCAUUUCUCUUGCAAUUGUUGACUUAAUUAUUCUAAACAAUUUGAAUUUUAAAAGCUUGAAAUGUUGAUGAGAUUAUACCAUAUCUCUUAUAUGAAUGACAACGGGUACCGACGACAUAUUUUUCUUCCUGACAUGAUAAGAUUUUCAGGGGAAAAAAAGGUUUUCUCACCUCAUUUUACUUCAUAAGAUCUAAACUAAAAUCUUAAAUUAAAUACAAAAGAAACGAGUCAAGAAGAAACAUGUGAACACCGUGUAGUCAUUUUGAGAAGAAGAAAACAAAACAAAUAGCGAGAAGAACAAAAGGAGGAGAAAAGACAAAUUUGUGUAGCUCAUCCUGAAUGCUAAAUUUAUGUGACAAAAGAAGCAAGGAACAAAUAGAGUUCAUAUCAUAGUAUUGUUAGUCUUUUUUUUUUUUUUUUUUUUUUUCGACAUGAUAACUUUUAAUUUAGACAUACUCCUAUGUUACAACAAGGGAAAGGAAUGGAUUCAAAAGAAUCGAUGAAAAAUUCAGAGGAGACUAAACCGCUAUCGAAUCAGAAGGAUGUCAUUGCACCCGCUGAUAAAUUUUUUCGGAAAAUCCUGCAGAAGAAUGCAAGUCAAGAAAUUUGAUCUCUUGAUCUACAUCCAAUAAAAGCUUUAAACCGCUUCCAAGUCAAGAAAUUUGAUCUCUUGAUCUACAUCCAAUAAAAGCUUUAAACCGCUUCCAAUGGCCAACUACUCUACAGAUAGUUGGUAUAGUUGUUGUUAGUCUUUUUUUUUCCGACAACUAAGACCAACCACAUAUUGUAGCCAAAUUGUGGGAGACAGGGGUUGAUCCCCUGACCUCCAGCAUCACCAUUAUGGUGAUGACCACUGGACCAAAUGGCCAGUGGCUAUAGUCGUUGUUAGUCGAUUCUCUUCUUUUCAAUGUUCAAAGCAAAGUUAAAAUUGUCGAAGACUUGAGAGCCGUUUAGGUUUUAUGGCCGGAACUGGGCAGCAGAGUGAUUUGCAUUACAAUUUUUGCAUGUGAACAAAUCAACUGAGAAUCUAAUAUUCAAAUGGGAAAAGAUGAAGAACCAAAGAAUGCGGCUACUGCAUCUCACGUGCGAAAAUGUGGCCUCCAAGAAAUCCAGUAAAUGGCUUGAUUGUGUUUGGAUAGGUAUUACUAUUGAGUAAAUCUUAAAUUCAAAUGAGUUGUCAAUAUAUUCAUAGUGAUUGUGUAUAUACUGUUAUUGUAUAAAUGAUUAAUUUAUUGUUAAUUUUUAAGAAAUUAUUUGCUUACGUCACAAAUAUAUUUUUUAAUACACAUUUUGAUUUUUUCAAUUAUCUUUUAUUUUGCAUAUAUCACAUCACGAAAAGUGUUACAAUAAUUAUUUCAAAUAGUAUUUCAAAUUUGUCAUUUGUUGCAAUAAACUAGGUACUCCAGAAAAUAUUCCCAAAAAAAAUAAUAACAUAGAAUGAGCAAACGUGCAAGUAUUUUUUUGCCCAAAUUCAUUUCAAAUUUCAUACAUAUAAAAUUAUCUUUAUGUUGUUAGUCAUGAAAAUAAAAUGGAAAGGGUUAAAUCCUAAAUAUGUUUUCUACCUUUCAUUUUUUUCUUAAAGAAACGUUAAGAACCUAACAUCAUGCAUGUCGAUACGUACAAUUUCUUUUUUUUUUUUUGUUAAUUAGUUUUUUGGAUUAAAUUCCAUUCUUUUGGAGCAAGGUGUUUCAAUAUUUUGACUAAGCUGAAAAGCAAAUAUAGAUUCACUAUUUUUUUUUAUUCUUAUAAAAGUGCAAGAUAAUAUUAGUGCCAUGAUCUCAAAUCGCAAUCGGACCAAGGCAACCCAUCAUAUCCAAUGUUGUUGCUAAUCAUUAUGGUCCGUAAACAGACUGAAAUAUUGCGAAAACAGCACCGACUAAUUUGAACCGAAAAAUGAUUGGAGAAUUGUCCAUUGUACAAGAAAACAAUCCUUCUAAUUGGUAUUAUUGCAUCUAAAGUCUACAAACGCAGUUUUACUUGAAUUAAUUGGUGAUGGCGUAACUAAACGAUUAGCUAGCUGAUUAUUUCAAGUUAUACAUCAGCUCUUUUUUUUUUUUUUCUUCAUUCUUAUUUUGUCUUAUUAAUGGGGCUUGUUAUGGGUCAAGUAAUGUGGACAAAAUAUCAUUUAUUUUGGGUAGAAAAAUUGUCAGAAUUCAAUCCACUUCAAUUCGGAAAGCGAUCUUGCUCAAACAGUUUAUGAAGUUGAAUUUCUUUCUCUAAAUAUUUUAUCUAGACAAGGACGAAAAAAUGGAUCAAAUUACUUGAUAUUUGAAACGAACUUGGUCCUGUUAAAACUAGUUUGAACUUUAUUGUUAAAACUAGUUUGAACUUUAUUUUUCAACUGAUCAAACUAAACACGAACAGUAUUUCGUGUUCGAUAAAGUUUGAAAGUAGACUAUGAACUUAGCUCAAUCAGCUUAAAGAUUGAGACUUGAAAGUUAAGUUUAAAAAGUCAAAACUAAUUGAGCUCAAUGCGAGAUCGGCUUGGUAAAAGCUUGUCAAGAGUUUGGCUCGAUAAAUAAACAACUCAAAUUAAAAUACAAUUUCGAAAUUGUUAAAAUAAACAGAGAGAAUUUGAACAAUGGAGUAUUCUACUUUAUUAGACUUAUUGACAUCUCUAUCUAGCCAUAGUCCUAAAAAAGUUGAAUUCUUUGUGGAAAUAAAUUUGGAGAGAAUUAAUUUCUUGUUAACAGCCAAAGUUCUCUUUCAAUUGAGGCUUAGGGGGGCAAUGAGCGGAUGUGAGUUUGAACACUAGUCUAUUCGAACUCGAUCUUGAAGUAUAUUUGUUUGAGCUUGAGCUCAAGUUUAAGUUUGACAAACCUUCAAUUUCAAAACUCGAGCAUGACUAGUGAGAAGUAUGAAGUGUCUGAGAUCAAGUUCGAAAAGUCACUUGCUCGAGUUCGAGUGAUACAAAAUGUAAUUUGUUAUAAGAAAAUAGGUUCUGUUUAUGAGCUUGUUUGCCACUGCUAAUAAAAUAGCCAUUGCUUUCAACACUUGGAUUCGAACUUUUAGGUGAACUUUACCUAGGGCCCGAGGUACAUGAAAAUCAAUUCGAAUAUGGGCCCAAUAGCAGCAGAUAUACUCGUUGAUAC
RNAcentral lists this long non-coding RNA (52030 nucleotides) under Coffea arabica (coffee). RNAcentral describes it as "long non-coding RNA (CARA_LNC007577)". The record is from RNAcentral. Lineage: Eukaryota; Viridiplantae; Streptophyta; Magnoliopsida; Gentianales; Rubiaceae.